UUCAGUGUAUUACAGAUUGACUAUUAGAACACUUGAUUCUAUAUUGCUAUCACCCCUGGUUGGUUAGGGUGUUCCCAGUUCAUGAGAUUGGAUCGAGCUCACUUAGCCUGUUUGCAUCUGUGGAGGUAGCUCCUCACAGGUAGUGCACUCCGGAGUUUGGCACGCGAAGGGGCCAGUGUAGUGCCCUUGGACCAGUGUAGUGUCUGCAGGCGGUCUCGGGGUAGGUGAAUAGCUAGCCUCCUCCCCUAUGAGACUUACACACGUGAGACUGUGAGCGAGCCUUGCGUUCGCCGAGAGAUUGGGUAAUUGGAUAAAUGACUUCGUUUGAACAUAGUAGUAUGAUACCUGGCCUUCUUACUAUGUGUUCCAUGCAUGCAUCACAUCGGAUUGAGGCAUUGAUAGAUUCUAGUUUAUAGCUGCUUAUUACUGCUAAUGCUUUCAGUUCCAUAUACCUAUCUAUCUGCAUUUCUAUCUGUGCCUGCUUAAACCUAGUGGGGAGAUCGGCGGAGUCGGCGGCCGAACCCACUGGGAACUAUUCGUAGUUCUCACUCCACCAUGUUGCAUGUCCGAGUCCGAGCGCCCCCGGUGAGGAUCGCGGCAAGGGCAUAGCGCCCUAGUGAUAUUAGUAUUGGUUUACUUUCCUUUAUGCAUUAGUUACACCUUGUACCUAUUUUGAGAGUAGAUUGAUGUAUAGGGUGAGGUUUUGAGAGAAUUGUAUAUGUUGUACAGGUUUAGAAGAAUGCAAAUUGUAGUAAUUGUAUUAAGUUGAAUGGAUGUAAUAGAAUAGUUAAGUAUCUCUCUUUUGCUCACUUGUAUGGUUGUAUUACUUGUGAUGCUUGCUCUCGUACUGUAUAGCACUGAUUGUGCUCUCGAUGUAUUUGUUUGAUUGUGUAUGCAUUCAAGUUGUUUCCUGGGAACUUAUUGUACACAAUCUAGUCGUUUAAACCUUGGGCGGACAGGGGAGGUGCUGUCCGUUCGGCGGUCCGUUCGCCGCGCCCGAAACGGACCAAAUUGGUAUCGGCCUCGGGGCGGGGGCGUGACAUCACAUACCCAAGGAAUGCAACUUUUCGAAGCCAAAAGUCGCAUUUCUUUAGCUUGGCAUAAAGCUUCUCCUUCCGAAAUAUCUGUAGCACAACUCUCAAGUGCUCCUCAUGCUCUUCAUCGCUUCGAGAGUAGAUCAAUAUAUCGUCUAUAAAGACUAUGACAAAUCGGUCCAAAUACGACUUGAAAACACAGUUCAUUAAGUCCAUAAAGUCUGUCGGGGCAUUUGUGAGUCCAAAUGGCAUAACCGUGAAUUCAUAGUGCCCAUACCGCGUUCGAAAUGCGGUCUUAUGCACAUCCUCCGGUUUGAUCUUUAAUUGAUGAUAGCCCGAUUGGAGAUCAAUCUUUGAGUAUACCCGGACCCUUGUAACUGAUCAAACAAAUCGUCGAUACGGGGCAACGGGUACUUAUUUCUGAUCGUAACUUUGUUCAACUCGCGGUAGUCCACGCAAGGUCGAAGCGAGCCAUCUUUCUUCUUCACAAACAGCACUGGGGCUCCCCAUGGUGAUACACUUCGCUUAAUGAAGCCCUUGUCAAGAAGGUCUUACAACUGUGCCUUUAACUCUUUUAAUUUCGUCGGUGCUAUAUAGUACGGAGCUUUAGAAAUCGGCACCGUUCCGGGAACUAACUCUAUCACAAACUCAAUCUCCAGGUCUGGUGGCAAUCCCGAUAAUUCCGCAAGAAACACAUCCGGAAAUUCACUUACUAUCGGAAUAUCCCCAAGUGCUAGGAGCUCCCUUUGAGUCUCCACCACCGACGCCAAAUAGGCUACACAUCCACUUUUAAUCAACCUUCUCACUCUCGAUAUCGACACCGUCAUAGCAAAGCGCGAGCUCUUACAUGCACGAUAAACCACUUCCUUCUGACCGGGCUCACGAAAAGUGAUCACUCUGCUUUUGCAAUCUAUAUUAGCAUAAUAUUUCGAGAGCCAAUCUAUUCCAAGAACUAUGUCAAAGCGUUUCAUCCGGCUCAACACAAGUAAAUCCACCGGCAUAAUCCAAUCGCCAAUUUGCACUGGACAAGCCGCACAUUCCUCCUUGACACUAAAGGUGUGCUCGGGUGCAAAACCCACCAAGCAUCAGCGUUCUCCGAAAUCUUAAUACCGUGACAAUGAUUAUGCUUGCUUGCCAUUUGUGCUCAUUCGCACAUGCUUGUGAGGGUCGCUCCCUACAAGCCGGCACUCCAGAGUUAGCCUUUUCGCUCGUGUGGGAUCGAGAUGCCUAUAGGGUCGUGUGGGACAGCCUCAUUUCCAGCGUGGGAUGAUGAGCUACCACAGGCAGCUAGGCGGUGAGACGCCUGUAGGGUCGUGUGGGACAGCCUCAUUCCUAGCGUGGAAUGAUGAGCUACCACAGGCAGCUAGGCGGCACAAGCUGGACUACACGUGUAGGUCCUAAAUGAGAUUGAACGAGAACAUUAAACAACAUUAUGACAAUCACGACAAUCACUACUUGAUAGUAUAUCGUAAUUGGAUUUAGUGGAUAUUGGGACAUGUACUAUUGCUUUCGCAUAAUAGUAUACUUGGUGGCCAUGAUAAAACAUAUUAAUCAUGUAUUGGUAUAUUGGAUCACGAUUGGGUAGAUGUACACUAUGUUGAUAUCAUGUGAUAUUGCGGCAUUGUAGAUUAGCAUUUCAUUACAUGCUUUUCUUAUUUGCAGUUUACUAGUAGUUCCUUUAUUUACUUAUGUUUUUGGGCCUAGUAGUGCAUUUUGCUCAGGUCAGUAAUUGCCCACUGAGAACUAUAAAUUAUAAUUCUCACAACCCCCUGUUUCAUGUUUUCUUUCAGAGCCUUCCACCCCGGGAGAGACUUGGGAUCGCGGUAAAGGAAUCGCUUCGAGUUAGCUAGCGAGGAAUUCGACGAUAGGUGGUCUACCACUUUUCUGAGUUUUGUUUGGAGAGGUUGAGAGACUUGUACCAUUUUUGUAGAGAUCACUCCCUAUAUGUAGUUUGAGACUUAUGAUGUAUUAUUUUACGUUUUGCUUUAGUGGUUUAGUUUCCUUUGUUUCUAUAUGUUGUUAGAACCUAGCUGUAUACUUGCUCUGAUAUCUUUAGAUACGCUCUAUUUAUUGUUUAUUUAUUCGCUAUUGUUGUAGAUGCCUUAUAUGCCUUAUAUGUGUAGGCGGGUCUGGGCAUGCAACGGGCGGGCCUAGGCCGGGUCCCUGGGCAUGACAGAUUAAUUUGGUAUUAGAGCCUAGGGUUGAGUCUUAGUGGACCUAGAAAAUCUUAGGCCGGUUGGACUAUAGGAAAUAGGCUCGUGAGAGACGAGAUCUAUUUGAUUUGUGAGCAAAAGUAUUGUCAUUGGAUAUUGAUAUAACUCUAAAAAGUUAGAGUUUGAUCGGAGUGUAUAACUUCUAACUUCGCGGAGGGUUACGUUGGCUGCCGACAACGUAACAUCGGGAGUUAGUAGUGAAGGACACUUUCUUACUUUCGCAUGAUUUGGGUACUAGUUAUUUGAGCGUGGUUGCGAUAGCGUGGGUUUUAUUAACUUACGCUUUUAUAAUGUUGUAGUGAUAAUGCCGACUACACGCUCUAAGUCUGUGGGAGCGGAGAAUGCGGCAACUUUUGAGGAAGUGGAGACAUCCACUACCUCCGGAUCCUGCGAGGUCCGUGAGUUGAGGAGCUAGCUUGCGGCCCUCACCGAUUUAGUUACCCAGCAGGCAGCGGCGGCUCAGCAGCAGGCAGAUGCGACGCGCCGGUAGGAGCGCAGAUGAAGCGCCUGGAGGAUCUUCUACUGCAGCAGGCGGCUGCCAGGGAGGCUUAGGUCCCUACACCACCCGCGCCGGUAGAGGUUGUUGCACCCAAGGUGUUGUCCCCUGCACUUGACAUUUCGCGGACGACACCGGCUCCCGAGGUUAUUGCGGCACUACCAGCUCAAGUGCCGUUGGCAGGGGCAGUUUUUCCCGUGAUGGUUGAGGGAGCGGAGCGGGAACGGCUCAUGGAUCGCCUCAAUGAGUUUAGGAGGUGUAGCCCCAGGAUCUUCGAUGGAGAGAGAGCCGACCACUGGAUUGUAGAGAAGUGGUUGAUGCAUAUGGAGAAGUUAUUCCGCGACACCUUCGUAGAAGAAAGAGAUAGAGUUUGGCUCGCCACUCAUCACCUGGACGGCGAGGCCUAUAGUUGGUGGUUGGAUAUCCAGGAUAACCCCAACACCGACCUUGCAACGAUUUCUUGGAAGAGGUUCAAGAAACUCUUGUUGGAGCACUACUUCCCCGUCAGCGUUAAGAGAAAGAUGGAGCAGGAUCUGCGCGAGAUGCGCCAGGGGGAUCGGACCGUGGCUGAGUACAAGAGGGAGUUCUCUCGGUUUCUACACUGUGUGCUCUUUGUUGUGAGGGACGACGAGGACAAGGCCCGCAUCUUCGAGCGAGGAUUUCGGCCGUCGAUCUUUCGGUUGGUGCAAUCCUUCAACCUCCAGACUUACCGAGAUGUGGUGAACCGUGCGUUCAUCGUGGAGAGCGGCGCGGCUGAUUUGCAGGAGCGUCGAGAGGGCAUGGACAAGGGUAAGGGUAAGAGGCCCGCGGCUGAGGGUGCAAAUUAGAUGCACUCUGGGAGGCCGCCGAGACAUCCCAGGAGCUGAAGCCAGUCGCAAGGACGUGGCUCAUCUGCACUGCAUGGAGGAUCUGAUCGUCGCCAGGCUCCGAGCUGUGUGAUCUGCGGUGGUCGUCAUUACCCGCGGCAGUGCUCGCAGAGUCGGGACAGGUGCUACCUGUGUGGCCAGGAGGGUCAUUUCCAGUCGGACUGCCUGAGGGGUCCAGUUCCAGCGCCGUCAUCAGCAUCGGCACUAGCUUCACCGGGUCCCAGUCGGAGGACACCUUCUGCUCUCUACCAGACUGGGCGGCCACCUGUCCUGAGACAGACGGAGGGGUCACGACAGGCCCCGAGCGGGCGCAUGUAUGUGGCUCAGACUGAGGAGGCGGCAGCAGCCGAGAGUGUGGCUGCAUGUACAAUUAUAUUAUUAUGGCAUUCGAGUUUAUGCAUUCUAUGAUUGAGAUGUUUGCAUCAUUUGCAUACCUGGAUCGGCUGUUCGCCGAAUUGUUUAGCAUUGAUCCUUUUUCGAUGCAUGAUCGGAUGAUCGGGUGUGUCGUUUCGAACACCCUACCUUGUGAGAGGGUUUUGUGUGCCAACAAAUGAAUUGGCCUUACUUGGUGUGGAGUAUUUGUGGGGUACCUUGUACCUUUGAUCUUGCGAGCUGACUUGACUCGCCUUGGGAAUUUGAGCACGAAAUAGUGCGUUUUGAGGAUUUAUUUUCGCUGGUUGUGUUAACUAUCCCCUUACCUAAAAUCGGAUAAUUACUGGGGAGGAUAGUAUUUGUGGCUCGUUAGAGCAUGUCGUGUAGGACAACGACGUUGGGUGUGCUUGCUGGACCAUUUGUGGACUGUGGAGCCUGGGCCUUUGGGGCUGGCGUAGUUAGCUGUGAGUGACAGCGGCUCGGUACCUACGGGUAGGGAAGAGAUUUUGGUCAGGAUGGUAGUUUGAGCUUAGACCUGGAGCAUGGAAUGCCACGUGUUGGAUCAUGGAUAUCCAUGUGGAAUGUAGUAUACUGAACUUCGGCAAAUUGCGGAGUUCGAGUGUAGGGAUGAUAAUUGGAUUUAGCCGACAUCUUCUAAAGGGUUGGGAGAAGUUGGUGAACAAGUUUGAGAGUGAUCGGAGUGCGGGAAGCAAGAAAGUGCAUUGCUCCUGCGAAAUUUGGCCAUUCUGCAUUGUUGUACCAGUACAACAUUGAUGCUGUACCGGUACAACAAGCAGCAGUGGCAGCAGCUGCGUGGCAACAGAUUUUUUUGGUCAUUUGGUGAUCCAUCCUUAUCUCUAUUCCUCCAGCACGAUCCCUGUAGUUGGUGAAGGGGUAAGGGAGCUUAGAACAUCAGGAGUGAAGCCCUCACUUUCUCUCUCUAGGGUUUGGAGCUUGAGGGAGAUAGGAAUUAGAGAUUUUGCCCAUUUCCUUUUUCUCUCCUUUGUAAUCAGCUGUGUUGGAAGUUUGGAGGUCGCUGCAGGUAGUUAGAGAAACCAAAUUGGAGGUGUUCUUGCAGCCUAGACUCAGCAACUAACUGAGUUGCAACCUCGAAAGGUAAGCAAUGCUAUUUCUCUCACUAACUUGACACUAGUAGUGGAUUUGGGGCUGAUUUUGGGUUCUUACGAUCAGCAGAGUUGGGGGAAGGUUCUAACAGCUAGAGAAAGGCUAUUUUGGUGUGUUGCUGUUGCCUAAACCCACGGGAAGAAUUGGGUUCAAGUUGAAGAAGGUAAGGAGCUGGUUAUUGCUGUAUCUUGAUAUUAUAGUAUGCAUAGUAGCUAAAAGUUGGUGUUGUUCUGAAAUCUGUCGACAGUGGCCUUGCAGCCCACUCUGAGUUGAACACGAGAUUAUCACGAGCUGGUUUUGGGUAUACUUCAUCUAAUAGGAGUUGGAGCUUUAAGUGGAGAAGGUGAUAAACAAGUUCUUUCUCUAGUCUGAUAUGAAAUGAUGGUAUUGAUGGAAUAUUAAAGCCAUUUCUGGUACCUGUUUUCAGCAGGUGUAUCGGCCACUCCAGGCUGAAUGUAGUGGCUUUGGAGAGUUGUUUUGAGAAGGUUAUAACCUAAGUAAAAGGGAGGAUUAACCCUGAGCUUAACAGAGGUGAGAAUUUCGCCGAAAUUGAAUAAGUAGUGAUAACUUUAAUGCAGAUUUUAAGCUUAAAAUUACGGCAGCCCGCAGCAGGGUUGCGAUCCACUGUUGGAGGGUUCUUUGUUGGUGAUUGAAGGCUUGGGAAGCUGAAAAUGAGUACAUUAAUCCAAACCAAAACAUGGGUUCAAGCUGGGGCCUUGCGCAAGGUGAAAAUAUUGCUGAAUUUGGAUGUUUGGAUACUAGUUUCAAUGCAGUUUUUCUAACUAAUCCGCAGAAGGUGCAAAGAUUACUUUGGGCUGAACAUUGAGACCUUUUUAGGCUGAAUUAACCUGAGUUUGAGAGUACUUCAACCUGGAUUAAGCAAAGGUUUAGCUUCAGUAUAAGCCUAGGUGAGGAUGUAGUCUAUUUCCGAUGAUUAUGUGAAGUUUUGCCAUUGGUAUAGAAGUUAGCUCUUAACUGAUUUUUGAAUUGAUAUUAGGGAAAUUGAAGGCUUUGGGUUUCCUGCGAAAGUAAGUUCGACAAGGAUCAUCAAGUAGUCUAUAAACCUAAUUGUUAUUGAGUUGAAUGAAAUCUCUAUAAUGUAGAGAGAAUCAUGAGUAAUGACUUUAAUGCUUAGUUCAAAUGCAUAUUCAGUAAAUGGCUUUAUCCUGCUUUUAUGAGGUAUAGAACAAAGAGAUUCACUUGGUAUCUUGAAAGAUUGUACUUGUAUUGAUAAGUUCUCAAGAUCAUUGACAUAUGCACAUUUGUAUUACUUUUCUAUAGUUGUUAAAUCUAGUGGAUACUAGUAUUUUCAUUAUAAUGAGAUUCUGACCUUUAGUCGAGAGCGAGAACUUUACAUAUUAGGAUAUGAUGAUCGGGAACUGUUGAACUAUGGAUCGUGCUUGCUUGCCAUUGUGCUCAUUCGCACUUGCUUGUGAGGGUCGCUCCCCACAAGCCGGCACUCCGGAGUUGGCCUGCGCGACAGCUUGCUCGCCGUGCGGGAUUGGGUGUCAAAGUGGAUUGACGUGGGGAGUGUAUACUACCACGGGGCUAUUAGGCGCGGCGCAAGCUGGACUACCUCGAGUAGGUCCUUAUGAAUUAAACCAAAGUACUAAAUGAUAACAAUAAACGAUUAUCACAGAAUAGUGUACCAUUACAUGUCUACAUAACUUUUCUUUAUGUGCAUAGUAAUCAUAUGCCUUGCUUCUAAUUGGUUGAUAUUUUCGACAGUAUAAUACAUGUUCAUUGUUAUUUAACAUUGAUUUAUCUAUCAUGCAAUAAAUGUUCUUACAUUUCUAGUAGUACAUCAUGAGCCUAGUGGUGUAAUUCGCAGAGACUGGCGGCUUACCCACUGGGAACUAUUGUUUAAUAGUUCUCACGCCGUCUUUGUUGUUGUUUUUACAGAGCCAUCCACGACGGGAGUGGCUAGGGAUCGCUGUCACGCCCCGCGACCACCCGCCUAUUUGGCCGGGUCGCGGCGCCGCCGACAGACCGCCGAAAGGCCAGGGUUUCCCCUGUACGGCGGACAGAGUCUUCCCUGUACGUUCAAGGCAUAGCAAUCAAUACAAUGUGCGAAGUUCCAACCAGGAACACAUUUCAAUCAAGAUUGCAUAAGGAAGGUAUCAAACAACAUAACACAUCCUAUGUUAUUACAUGCAUUCACAUUCACUAGAUACAUUUUACAUCCCAAGUACUUAUUACAUUUAACUUCCAAAUACAAUCCGAUUUAACAUGAUGAUUACAACUUGAUUCUUUUCAUUCUUUACAUCCCUAAGUAAGGCCGACUCAGGGUACCGCUAUCUCUGGUCUCGGUGGUAGGGUGCUAACUAAGGAGCUACGCCCUCGCCUCGCGCCGCCGCGCNCUUAUCCUCCAAUUUUCAUAAUUUUCUGAGACUGUGCAUUUUCUGCUAAUUUAUCUGUCCCGUUUCCAACAGAAAAUUCUAGAUCUUCUGUUCUCAUUCCAAUUUCAGCACAAGUCACUUCUGACUUAUGUUUUACUCCUACAAAUCCAAUAAAAAUAGUUUCCCACACUAUUUUUAUUUAUUUUUAUUUUUAUACCAAAAUCUGGUAUGUUACAAUCGCGGCAAGGGAGUCGCGUCUAGCUAGCAUAGCGUGGAGUCCAACUAGGUGAUCACCUCGCUACUUGGUUUUGGGACAGACGAGAUUGAUGUAUAUAUACCAGUAUAUAGAGAGACCACCAUUGUAUUUAGUUCUUUUGGGCGACCUUGUGAUGUAUGUGUGGUUUUAUAGUGAUGUAUACACAGCUUUUGAUUUUAUCUCUGGUUGAACUUGGUCAAGUUUCUACUGAUUCUCUUUAAUUAGUAGUACUAUUGGUAUGUAUUUUACUCUGAUAUCAGGUUAGGAUCUCUUUGUAACUGGUAUCUUCCUAACUUGAUUUAGUAGACGCCUUAUAUAUCUGCAGGUGUAUGGCGGGUCUGUGCAUGUACCGCGUAUGCUUCCACUGAUACCUGGGCGUGACAUGAAAUCCGAGGAUAAUGCUCUUUAGAGGACUGAAAGUGGAGAUGUGCCGGAGUGUGCCAUCUCAUGGCAGAGCUAAAGUCCAUGUGGAAUUAGAGCACUCACGAUGGAGUGAUGCACCUGUGAUAUUGUUUCUAAGCAAUGCCGGUGAUCGAAUCGGAGUGUGUUCCCUAGGGAAAUGUAUGCUAAUAUCCUCAAUGGCUCAAUAGGUCGAGUUGAGGUGUGAUUGAAGUUUCGAGGACGAAACUCUUUUUAAGGGGUGGAAAAUGUAGUAUACAGGAUUUUAAUAAAAGGGUGAAAAUAAAUAAAAAUAUUGUGAUAUACUAUUUUUAUUGGAUUUAUAGAAGUAAAAUAUAAGUCGGGAAUGACUCGUGCGGAAAUCGGAGCGAGAACAGAAGAUUUUGAAUUUUCUGUGUGAAUCGAGGCUGUUAUUUUAGCAGAAAAUGCACAGUGUCAGAAGAUAAUGAAAACUUGGAUUCAUGUCGAAAAUAUUUUUAUGAGGUUAGAUUUAAAGUUUCAUGUUGAUCCGACUCCUGGAAGGUGAAAAAUAAAAUCCGACUGCUAUCUGCUAGAGAUUACAGUUCGGUAGAGCUUUCGGUGACCAAAACAUGGUUGUAACGGAAAGAUUUAAAUUUCUUUCUUCUAGUUAGGUAAAACCGAGCAUGACUGUCAAAUUUGAGCGCAAUUGGACAUUCAGAAGGGCUUCGGCGAAAAACAUCAGUUUGUAUCUGCUAGAUGAAUAGUGUUUUGGGGGUAUAUAUAUACAUGUGAACCCUUGGCAUUCUUCAUUCGUGAGCUCCAAACCGAGAGAGAGAGAAAGAGUGAGUUUUCUCCCUUUCUCUCUUUGUCUCUAAGAUCUCUCUCUCUCUCUACCAAAGAGAGGAUUGGAGGAAAAAAUUGGAGCAAGCUUGGUGGAGAAGAAGGCUUGGAGUUGAAGCUUCAUCUCCAUCUUCUCCUUCCUUGGUCUAAGAGGAAACUUGAGAGGUAAGCUUCAUAGGGCUUUAAUGGUAGAAUUUUAGAGCCUCAAUUAUAUGCUCUAGGAAUGAGUUUAGAGGACUCCUCUAGAUGCUAAUAACAUGCUAAUUACAUGAAUCAAGUUCCAAUUUGGUGAUUUUUUGCAAUAGUAGCAUGUUAGGGCUCAAAAUGGGGGUUUUGCUAUAUAAGGGGGGUUUGAUCUAAAUUGAACAUAUUCAAACCUAAUUGUUAGGUAUACGAACGUGCUGGCGAAGUCGGUUCGGCGAUACGACGAGGCUACGCGAAGAUACUCCGAUUUCGGUACAGAUUGCCGUAGCUCGCGGCGUAAGCUUCCUAAAAUCACGAAACCGGAAUCGUAGCAUCGUGACAUCACCUAAAGUUUUGGAGCUAGGAGCAAGGCUUGUCUGAGGGAUUUUCUACUCAUAGUGCUAGGAGGGUUGUGGGCACCUUCGUCGGCGCAACGAGGGGUCGCGUGGAGCUCUCGGUGGGUUUGGCCUCACCAAAAAGGGAUAAAUUUCUCUUUAGGUGGUUUUCACUUAUCGUAAAAUAAUAAUGCAUGCUAGAUAGAAUAUUUGAGAAUUUUAGAAUGCUUAAAAUGCACAUGUUAUAUACAAUGCAUGUUGGACCUCUAUGUAGUAGAGAGUUUUCGUGUUGGGCUUGGUUUGGGUCAUGUUGCAUCUAGUGAAUAUGACAAGUAUAAAUGCACAUGUUAUAUAUAAUGCAUGUUGGACCUCUAUGUAGUAGAGAGUUUUCGUGUUGGGCUUGGCCUUAUGGAUAGCAUUCUUAUUUGUGGCUUUGGAUCAUGUUGUAUCUAGUGAAUAUGGCAAGUAUAAAUGCACAUGUUAUAUACAAUGCAUGUUGGACCUCUAUGUAGUAGAGAGUUUUCGUGUUGGGCUUGGCCUUAUGGAUAGCAUUUUUAUUUUUGGCUUUAGAUCAUGUCGCAUCUAGUGAAUAUGACAAGUAUAAAUGCACAUGUUAUAUACAAUGCAUGUUUGACUUCUAUGCAGUAGAGAGUUUUCAUGUUGGGCUUGGCCCUAUGGAUAGCAUUCUUAAUUGUGGCUUUGGAUCAUGUUGCAUCUAGUGAAUAUGACAAGUAUAAAUGCACAUGUUAUAUACAAUGCAUGUUGGACCUCUAUGUAGUAGAGAGUUUUCGUGUUGGGCUUGACCUUAUGGAUAGCAUUCUUAUUUGUGGCUUUGGAUCAUGUUGCAUCUAGUGAAUAUGACAAGUAUUAUACACUCUUGGAUUUGAAGCUCAUGCUUGACAUAGAUGAUCAGUUAAUGUCAUAAAGUGGCAUUAGACUUGAGUGAUGCAUGUUAUAGUAAGCUUAUGUCAUAAAGAGACAUUGGGCUUGGAAUUGGUAUAGUAAGCUAAUGUCAUAAAGAGGUAUUGGGCUUGGAAUUGACGUAGUAAGCUAAUGCCAUAAAGAGGCAUUAAGCUUGGAAUACGUAUGGACUUAGUAAAUCUAAGGUCACAUGAGACAUUGAAAUUAUUGAACGGUUAAACCUUCACUUGGGGAUAUUAAACUAGACCUAUGAGUUGCUAACGAUCAUUUCCAUGGUUGAGCCAUGAUGAUCGGAUCGUUGUGACAAUGACUAUGCUUGCCUGCUAUUUGUGCUCAUUCGCACAUACUUGUUAGGGUCGCUCCCUACAAGCCGGCAUUCUGGAGUUAGCCUUUUCGCUCGUGCGGGAUCUAGACGCCUGUAGGGUCGUGUGGGACAGCCUUAUUCCCAGCGUGGUAUGAUGAGCUACCACAGGCAGCUAGGGGGUGAGACGCCUGUAGGGUCGUGUGGGGCAGCCUUAUUCCUAGCGUGGAAUGAUGAGCUACCACAGGCAGCUAGGCGGCACAAGCUGGACCACACACGUGUAGGUCCUAAAUGAGAUUGAACGAGAACAUUAAACAACAUUAUGACAAUCACUACUUGAUAGUAUAUCGUAGUUGGAUUUAGUAGACAUUGGGACAUGUACUAUUGCUUUCGCAUAAUAGUAUACUUGGUGGCCAUGAUAAAGCAUAUUAAUCAUGUAUUGGUAUAUUGGAUCACGAUGGGGUAGAUGUACACUACGUUGGCAUCAUGUGAUAUUGCGGCAUUGUAGGUUCGCAUUUCAUUACAUGCUUUUCCUAUUUGCAGUUUACUAGUAGUUCCUUUAUCUACUUAUGCUUUUGGGCCUAGUGGUGCAUUUUUCUCAGGUCAGUAAUUGCCCACUGAGAACUAUAAAUUAUAGUUCUCACACCCCCUGUUUCAUGUUUUCUUUCAGAGCCUUCCACCCCGCGAGAGGCUCGGGAUCGCGGGAAAGGAAUCGCCUCGCGUUAGCUAGCGAGGAAUUCGACGAUAGGUGGUCUACCUCUCUUCUGAAUUUUGUUUGGAGAGGUUGAGAGACUUGUACCAUUUUUGUAGAGACUACCCCCUAUAUGUAGCUUGAGACUUAUGAUAUAUUAUUUUACGUUUUGCCUUAGUGGUUUAGUUUCCUUUGUUUCUACCUGUUGUUAGAAUCUAGCUGUAUACUUGCUUUGAUAUCUCUAGAUACGCUCUAUUUAUUGUUCAUUUAUUCGCUAUUGUUGGAGACACCUUAUAUGUGUAGGCAUAUGACGGGUCUGGGCAUGCACCGGGCGGGCGGGCCUAGGCCGGGUCCCGGGGCGUGACACGCGGUCCUCGACAAAUGCGCUCAUACUUGGCUCUACAAAACAGGGUGUGAGAACUAAACAAAGUUCCCAAUAGGUUCGGCCGUCGACCUCGCCGAUUUUUCCACUAGGUCUAAAAAGGCAUAGAGACAAGAUGGGUCAAUAUGACAAGGAAGUAAUAAAUGGAAACGAUAAGCCUAACAUGCUCAUAUACAAUUAUAUCAUGCUUCAAACGUAUUACUAUGCCUUUACCAAGCAAGUCAAGAUUCUACUAUGUCUUUAACAAUUCAACAUAUUAAUGCUCUACGAUGUAUGCAACAUAUAUGAAAUGCUAUGACCAUGCCUUGAUUCAAAUCCAAUCGGUUCGCCCAAAGGUCGAACCACAACUCGCCACACACUAUCACCUCUGUGACCGUCUGCCGGGGACGAAUCGUUGUGACUCUUUCCCCCGUCUCAAUCUAACAUGAGUGUGACACUCCGGAGCUCACGGCUUGGGAGUCGCGACCUCCACAAGUCACAACAGACGACACGAGUAUGAUUAAGUCCUCGCGGCCGAGGACCACGGGAAUCCCACAAUCACAAGGCAUGCAAUGCUCAUAAUCAGCCACAUGUGCAAUAAUUCCAAUUCUCACAGUGCCAUAAGUCCGCAUAUCUAGUUCACAUGAAUCUAGCAUAUUCUCAUAAUAUGUCAAUAUGCAUAUGUCCUCUAGCAUUUCAUGCACAUACAUAUAUACAUCUAUCUCAUCAUGCAAAUAAAUACACCCACAAGUAUCAUGCAACAUGGAUCAUCAUUCCUCACACUAAAGCAUGAAUUUAUCAAGAACUCAUAGAUUUCUCACAUAGUCUUAAUGCAUGAUGCAAUAUGGCCAAUAAGUAGAACUUAGAUAUAGAAUGAAAUUUGGCUAAUUCGGAUAGCACCCCUCAUCUCGAGUCAACGUCACAAAGUGGGAAGCCAAGCUGCGCAAUUUAUUGUCGUCGAUUUCACUCGACUACGGCAAAUGAAGUGAAAACGGCAAUUUCUCUUAAUUGACCACCGUCGGCUCAACGAAACCUUAAUCUAAGUAGUCCACCGCGUCGGUUUUACCUUCAAUUGCGGAAACAUCGGACCAAUUAAGAUCAAAACCCACCCUAAUCAAAAGCCCUCUUCAGAAACCCUAAAAUUCAUUUAUUGCAUAAAUACUCACAACUCUUCAUGAUUCAUGCAAUAAGCUAGGUUAGAAUUACGUAGGGUUCCAAUUAAUCUCAUUUCUAAGGGAUUUACACAAACCCUAACCUUGAAAUCCUCAAAAUCUCACAAACUUACCUCAACUCAAAGCUCCUCCCCAAGCCAAGCUUGUACAAGAAGGUUGCUUCACCUCUAAGCAAGCUCUCCUCCACUAGACUCCACCUCUUGGAGCAAACCCUAGAGAGAGAGAGAGAGGUUGAGAGAGAGAAAAUGUUUUCUUUUAGGUUGGGAAUGAGGGGGAAAAUGGGAGAAAAGGGUUAAGACCCCUCACAUAAACACUCCCACUUGCAUAUUUACACUUUAGCCUCUCACACAACAGGGUUGUGCUCAACAUGAAAUUUUUCGUGUUCGGGAUCCGGACCUUGGGGUCAGGGUCCGGACCCCGAGAGCAUUUCUAGCACGACCAGCUUGAAAUUUCUCCACUUGCUCUCCAAGUUUCCUAAACGGUUGUUUAAACUAUUCCGAAGCAUUCGGAACAUUUAACGGACCUCUCCAAACCGUCCAUUACUACACUUCGGUCAAUUUGAGUAAAGUUCGGUAUGGCGCACCGAGGAUUCGGUACACUACAUCUUGUCUAAUUGUUUUUUUUUUUUUUUUUUUUUAAGAAUUGUGAUAUUUUUUUUCUUUUUUUUGUGUGUUUAGAAUCAUUUUAUAUCUAUAGAUGACAUUCUUGAGAGGUUGGUCCAUAGUUGCAUUGCCCUACACCACAGCCCGAAAAAUAGAUUACUUGGCGACGGUUUAUUUCAUGUCAAGUUCUUGCUCUAGUGUUUAGACGGUUAAUGUCAAAUAAGUGAAUACCAUUCUAAAGAUUUUGUCAAUCUCAGGAAUCUCUCUGUUUUGUUCUGAUCGACCGUGGAAGGCUUGGCUAGUGACUGAGAAUGAAUGAUGAUCUCAAGUUUCAUUUUCUUUUCCGUUGUCUAAGUGAUCGAGUUCAAAUUGGAGUGGGGGGAUCAAUUGCCUGACCUGAUGAAAAUAGAUUUAACUCGUGAGAUUAGCAGUGUGUGAAAUAUGAAAAGCAGUAUGGAUUAGCUAUUUCCAGCAUUGUAUGUGUAGCACACUGGACCUCUGCAAAUUGCGAGGUUCGAGUGCUUGGAUGUAUUUCGAGCUUUUCCACACUUGGUGGAGGGUUGUAGAAUGUUUUCCGACCUAAAAAGUUCGNGUGUUUUGCAGGAAAUCAAGACUUCAAGACUCCUAGUUGUGUCUAAGUCAUAGAGUCUGUUUUAGGAGUUUUUGAUGUAAUUUUGAGUUUCAAAUUGUAUUUGGAUUACACACGAGGGGUUCGAUGUUUUGGUGAUGACAUUGAACAUCGUUUUUUUUUUAAAUUGUAAUUUGUGAGUUUGUGUGUGUUUUGUCACGAAAUUGCCAAAGGGGGAGAUUGUUAGGUCCUAUGUGUUGGCAAGUUUCGUGGGUCGAGUCGGAGUCUUGAAGAAGUUCGGAGCGGAGUAUUGAAGAUCGAAGAAUUCAAGACUUCGAAGAAUCGGAAAGGACGCAAAACACGUAAAACAUGAAUCCCGAUGCGUAGGUAAGUUUUAAAUCUUGUUUAUGGUAAUUCAUACUUAUUUAUAGAUCUUAGAAUCAUAUUUUCAAGUUGUAAUUGAUUAAAAAAUUUCUAAGAGCUUGUAAAAUCCGAAACAAUGCAUUUUCAGCGAAAAUCGCAUUGUUGUACCGGUACAAGAGUUUUCUGUCCAGGGUACAGCCAUCAGCAUUUGUGCAGGAAGUUUGAUGGUUGUUCCGGUACAAGCUUCAUGCUGUACCGGCUGAAGCUAUCCAGGGUACAGGAGCUUCGCAGAAAAAUCUUCCGUCAUGGUGUACCCUGGACAGCUUUUCUUGUUUCGGUACAAGGUGCUGAUUUUGGAAAGAAACUUUCUAAUACUAGUCUGUUUUGAUUCUAAAGUCUAUAAAUAAGCUAGAGGGGUUCUCUAACUGAUUAAGUAUCACGAAAAUACAUAUUUGAGAAACCUUAGAGGCUCGGAUUUCAUCAAAAAUCUAUUUUCUACAAAAAGCCUCUUUUAGAUCAAAUCGAGAUAUUGAAAUUUGAUAUUAAUAUGUCGAUUUGAUCUCCGCUUUGCUUGGAGUUCUAUUCCCUAGUUUUCUACAAUACUCCAAAGCGAAGGAUCACCAUAUUCAUGAUAUUCUUCAUGGUGGCGUCGUGGAUUCGGCGUAUUUGACGGCGGUUCGUGGAUUCGGAUCGUGGGCUCGUGGAUUCGAGUGGCGUCGUGGAUUCGGCGUGAUUGAAGCUUCGUGAUUCGAAGUGAAGGCGUUAAGUGGACUCGAACGGAGUGCCGUGGUACAGACACGGAGGGUAGCGCGAAGAUCAUAGGAGGUUAAUAAGAGGUGAGUCGUGGGUCGUAAUCACCUUUGUAAUCUUUUUCUCUUACGUGAAUUUUUUUUCACGUGUGUGGUCCCGUCGGGUUCUUUCUCCAAAGUUGGAGUUUUCCCACGUAAAUCUCGUGCUGCUUUUUAUUUCCUGCAUUUUAUUUUAUUGCAUCGAGAAUUUGUGGUUUUUUUGCCGUUCACAGGUAAGGUUACAAAUAGGAUACUAUUCACCCCCCCCUCUAGGUGAUAGAUAACAAUCCUAGAUAGAUCGCUCUUGCUCUCCUCAAAACUUUCAAAUUUUGGAGGCUCGUGGAACAACUCCGUUGCGGUAAUGUCGAAGGAAGCGCACGCGACGGUUCGGUGUUUGGCGCUAGGGUCUACACAAUGAGAAACUUAUUUGCUGAUGAAUUAAAGUAUCAAUCUAAUUUGAAAAAAAGCCAUGCAUAUCUUUGUUAUAGUGUAUUAUUGUGAAUUUUAGAAUGGCUCUUAAAAAAUCUAUUUCAUAUCAGUAAAAAUUUUGACCUCUAUUUAGUAGAGACGCAUGCAUGUGUGAUAUAGCAUUCUGGUGAAGACUGAAACUACAGAUCCCUAUUAUGAAAAUGGACCUUGCUUCGAUGCAUUUAAGGCUUAUUUGCACUUGUGACAUUAGAGGAUUUUUGGAAGCCGUAGAGAGCUUGAGGACUUAGACUAUUUGAGAAGAUUGGACGAAUGUCAUAAAGAGGCAUUGGGCCCCGGCUAGAAGUGAUCCUAGCUAGAUAUUGUUUUUAAUUGAAUGACUGGAACAUGAAUUGGGGCUUGAAUUAGUUGUGAUGCUUAGAGUGUAUUAAAAGGCACUCCAAAGGCAAGUUGCUGUGUUGGACGCGUUCACUUUGAAGACUUUGGACUAGAUCCUUGGGAUGCUAGUGACCUGCCAUGGCAGAGACAUUGAGAGUAGAGCUACUUGAGACUUUGACGUUGCUUCUUCCCAUUUGUGGCUCAUUCAGCACAUGCUUAGAUGAAAUGAUCCCCUAACAGCCGGCACUCCGCGUAGAUACUCCGGCAGUUGCCUACGCGACUUAUGUUUCGCCUCGGGUGACGGUAUUGAGGAGCCUACGGGGGUCGAGUGAGACAGACACAUUCAAGAGUAUGGGAUGUUGGGCGGCGUAACCACAUCAGGCACUUAUACGCAAACACCAAGCUGGACUACCUUUUGGUACGUCUUAAAUGGGAAAAUGGAAAUCGACACGGGGUGAGUUGUAUUAUAAUCCACUUACUGAAAUAAGAGAAGUAGUAGUGUUGGAUUAUAACGACUUCUUCAGUAUAAGAUUUGGAACUUUUGGGUAUACAUACAUACAUGUUGUAUGCUAGGAGACAUUUUGCUCUACUUAGGCAUUCAUAUAAAAACAAUGUUGGCUAUGAUAAGGAUCAUCGCUCAUAUUUCAUUAGGCAAACCAGUACAUUUAUUUAUGGCUAAGUAGAGACAUAUUUCUCCAUGAACAAGAUAAUUGUGGCAUGUUCACAUAAUGGCCAUGUUUAAGUUUGGGAGAUGUAAUAUUUUAGCAUUUUCAUUAAUCGCUUUAAUAGAUGCAAUUUACUUCGGUUUUGCAUUGCUUUGAAAUUUACCUUUUCUUUUGGGUCUAGUGGUGCAAUGAGCUGAGGUCAGUAAUUGCCUACUGGAAAAUAUAAAUUUUAGUUCUCUACUGCCCUCGUUUAAUGUUUCUUUCAGAAGCCUCCACGCCGGGAGAAGGCAAGGACACGGAGAGGGAUUGCUUAUGAGCAUAAGCUUCAAUUCAGAAGGACGAUUUGAAUAGGUGGUCUACCUCUCGUGGUUUUUAUUUUGCUCCCAGAGGUUGUGAGUUGUCCCGUUAUAGUAUACGAGACCACCCUUCUUUUAAAUGGAUCUUGCUUUUUUCUUUGAAGGAAGUAUAGUAUCUGUAACUACUUUUAUUGUUUAGUUAUAUUUUUUUUACUCUGGUUUAGAUGAUAGAACUUUACUCGCUCUGAUAUCAUUAGUUAUCACUAUGCUAUUUGUUCUACUUCUUGCUUUACUUCCGCUUUUGUUGUAGAUGCCUUAUAUGUGUAGACAUAUGGCGGGUCUGGGCGCGCUACCGGGAGGGCCUUCGCCGGUCCCGGUGCGUGACAGUAUGGUUGACAAAUCAUAUCAAAGUUUUGUAGCCAAAGGGAGCUUCUUGUGUUUACAAAUGCGUCUCGGCGAAACUUGAGACACUCCACAAUUUCAGUUCAUUGUGACCGUGGCAAGAGAUGUAACGACGACUAUGCAUUUUCUAAGUAGGGCAUCCAAUCAAUCUAGCUACCAAAUUAAGAAGACACCUGAUGUGAUUUGAUCAAGUUGGAGAUUAGACCUUGGAGGAACGGCAUGGUCCAUUACUUGCUGGUUCCUGUUUGCAUCCCAAAGGAUGACGUUUAAGAAUACCGGAUCAUUUUUGCUCGUAAACAAUCACUUUUACUGUUUGGUUCGCCGUAAUGAAGAUACGGUCGAAACUCGAGUUAUUCGAAACAACGUAAUUGAUUUUCUCGGCGGAAGUCAAUUAUGGUGGAGAGAGGUAAAACUCGAAUUAUCCGAAAUAGCAUAAUUGACUUUUUGGGCCAAAGUCUUUUAUGGUGAAGAGAGGUGAAAGAAUAAAUAAUAAAAUAAUGUAAUCGAUAAUACUUAUAUUUAAAUAUAUUUAGUUAUGGUAUUAAUUAUUUUUUAUUUAGUUUGCAUAUUUAAAAUAUGAUAAAAAUUGAUUAGUUCAGUUUUAGUAUUUUCUUCAUUUUAGUUUGUACAUUUCAAAUAUAAAGAAAAUUGAUUAGUUAAGUAUUAAUUUUUUUUUUUUGCUUUAUUAUAAUUUAUAUAUAUAAAAAUAAUUUAGUUGUUCUAGAUUAAAUUUUUUAAUUGUAUAGGAAUAUAAUUUUAUAAUUUUUAUUUAUUAUAGUUAUAAUUUAUUAUUUAUCAAGUUAUUUAUUAUUUAUAUAUAAAUUAUAGUUUUAUAUCAUUCAUUUUUUCUGAAACAAAUAUCAGAAUUGAAAAUUUUUAUUUCCAUAACUAUAAAAACAAACGGUAGGGAAGAAAUAGUUUUCAUCUGAAUUCAAUUUCAACCCAAAUGUCAAUUCAAUCCAAAUUUUAGUUUUGGUGAAAUAAACAAGUUCUUUUAUUAGUGCGGUACUAGAGUUUGCAGGUGAUUCAAAUGCACAACGACUUUCUCGAGAUCAAGCAAACCAACCAAGAAAAUUUAGAAUGUAUAACUGUUGAUAACACUAGAGUGGGAGUGGGGUUUAAUAAGAUUUCUUCAAGUUGAAGGGCAUGCGUAGGGCGGGAUUUAGGGUUUUAUGUUUUGAUGGGCUUUGUAGAACGCAGCGGAAGUAUUCGUUCAUACCUUUUGUGGAAGCGAUUCGCGUUACAACUCAAUGAGCCCGGAUCGUCGAGGUUGAUUCACGUGUCCUUUGAUCGUCCUUGAUUAAAUCUUCUAACGUUCCAAACUCGCGAUGGAUCGAACUACAAACGAGCACGAUCCCAAAUCCACCGUUCAAGUCCCUCUUAGAAUAAUAGGUUGAUGGAGAAUGUGGUUUCUCUCUUUCAUUUUCUUAUUCUCUUUUCUUUUUCCGUUCUUGUACCUAUUGUUAUGUGGGAUCGCCCGCAUAUUUAUAAGGGAUUCCAAAAUCCUAAUAGCGUUAGAGAUAAGACCAAAUCGGUUAUUAAUUGUUAUCCUAAUAUGACUAGGAUUUAUCUCUAACUAGAUUUCCAAUUUGAAAGCGAGAUUAAUUCUAAUCCAAUUAGAUAACAUAAUAUCCGUCGGAUCGAACUCGCUUAUGGGCGUACCCGAUUCGAUUUAACCGAAUGCCAACAUCUCCCACUUGCACAUGACGGGAUCGAUGCCAUCGUAACCACUUCCUCAACAUCACAUCACUAUUAAUUCUAUUCAUACAGGAAAAUGAACAGUGCGACUGCCGAGUCAACCUGCAUUUUGGGAGCUCUAUACUAGAAACCGCAUUCGGCCAGCAUAGAGACAUCAACCCUCAAAAAGGAAAAAAUAUUAGACUCGUGAUGCCCUAGACCAUUGAAUUACAUCAGGUUCAGCAUCUCUAAUCCUUCAAAGAGCCAUGCUAACCGCAAUUGCGCAUAUUAUGACACUAUACUCAUGAUUGUUUCGCUAUACUGAAGCGACACAAUCUGUCGACAAUGAGUCAAAGUGUUUUAAUGUAAUUCAACUAGUCUUCCUUGAGCCCUCAUGCCACUGAGUUGAGAAUUGAUUGCUUUCCCAGUAAUGCCCCAUAAAGCCGCAUCACUCAUGGCCGUAGGUAACAUGCCAAAGUAGCAAUAUCAAUUCUUUCACUUAAUGACAUAGUCAAAAGUCACUAAGGGCAUCUAACAUAUAUGGGACAUCGUCUCAAAAUAAUGUCCGUAAGAACUCACACGAUGAGGAAGCAGGGAUCCAUUCACUCAUCUUCUUUAUUUAGUCGCCCAGCACAUGUAGUAUGAAAUACAUGCUAUGACAGAGAAUCCAAUAAGCGUAUGUCUUUCUCAAUGUCAUACGGAUCUUAGCUCAGUCACUCCCAGAGUGUCUAGCCUGAGUUCUCCAUUUGCUCGCUAUCUCAAGCGUCAAACGGUGAACUCACAUCCGGCUCUUAAUAUACAGGCCAUACGAAUCGUGGGACUAUUCGUAUACGGUCUCAUUAAUGACCUCAUCUUGGUGCCAACCAAGGUUGCUUACAUUAAUGCCUCAAUUUUUGCUCGCUCUCUACAGCGCCGAAAAGAAUGAUUGUCCGUGUGAGAGGGCCAAUCAGCCUAUGACAUACUAUCAAUCAGUUUAAUAACAAUGCAUUUGUACUAAUUUUACCAAAUAUCUUUUCCAAAAUAAUAAUUUGUAAUUAAAUAACUAAUAAAUUACAAAAAAAUAAUCGACUGUCUACACAAUCAAAUCCUACGGAGUCCAAGAGCUUUAACAUGAGCCAAAAAAGAUUCUCUAACAAUAGGCUUAGUCAGAGGAUCUGCCACCAUGCGACUCGUAGAGAUGUGUUCCAGGAUUAUUUCCUUUUGCGCCACUGCCUCACGAACAAAGUGAUACUUUAAAUCGAUGUGCUUUGUCUUGCCAUGAUAUUUCGGGUCCUUCGUGUAUGCAAUCGCUGCCAUACUGUCACAAUAGAUCGUCACAGGAACGGAAGUACAAGCGAUAAUCCCAAUAUCUCGAAGGAACCUUCUCAACCAGAUAGCCUCAUGGGCUGCUGCAGAACACGCCACGAACUCUGCCUCUAUGGUGGAAAGAGCUAUGCAGGUCUGUUUCUUACUACUCCAAGUUAUGGCGCCAUUGCCAAGUAAGAAUGCAUAUCCUGAGGUUGACUUACGCUCAUCUAGGUCACCAGCCCAAUCCGCAUCGCUAUAACCGAUGAGACGUAAAUCCGUACCUUGAUAGCACAGCACAUAAUCUAUCGUACCUCUGAGGUAACGAAGUAUUCUUUUAACAGCCUUCUAGUGGUCCAAUUCCGUAUUGGACUGAAACCGGCUAACCAGGCCCACGACAUAGCAUAUAUCAGGCCGAGUACACAUCAUAGCAUACAUCAGGCUUCCGACCGCAUUAGCAUAUGGGAUCCAAUUCAUCUUAUUCUUCUCUUCAGAAGUUUUAGGGCACUGUUUAAGGUUCAAACUCUCACCUUUAGCAAUAGGAGUGUCAAUGGGUUUGCAAUUGUGCAUCUGAAAUCGUUCUAAAACUUUUCUUAGGUAAGUCUCUUGAGAUAGACCUAAAAGUUUUUUAGAACGAUCUUGUAGGAUCUUAACUCCGAGCACAUAAUUCGCUUCACCCAUGUCCUUCAUUUCAAAAUUAGAGGACAACCACGUCUGAGUGGCGACAAUCAUCUCCUUAUUAUUCCCGGUCAAUAGGAUGUCAUCAACAUAUAAGGAAAGGAUUAGAAAAAAUCCUUUGGACCGUUUAACAUACACACAGAGAUUCUUCAAUCAUCGUAAACCCAUCUUCAGUGAUGGCUCGAUGAAAUCGAAUAUACCACUGUCUGGAGGACUGCUUCAAUCCAUAAAUGGAUCGUCGGAGCUUACAAACUUUAUGCUCCUCACCUUUUACAGAGAAGUCAGCAGGCUGAUCCAUAUAGAUCUCCUCAUCCAGUUCUCCAUUGAGAAAUGCAGUUUUAACGUCUAUUUGGUAAAGUUCCAAAUCCAAAUAUGCGACAAUAGCCAAGAUUAGGCGGAUCGAAGCAAACCUCACGACAUGAGAGAAGGUUUCCUCGUAAUCAACGCCUUCUCGUUGGGUAAACCCCUUUGCUACCAGGUGAGCCUUGUAUCUAUCAAUAGAACCAUCUGCCUUGCGCUUAAUCUUGAGAACCCAUUUAUUCCCGAUUGUUUUGCGCCCUGGUGGCAAGUCAACCAAGUCCCAGACAUGAUUUGACUUCAUCGAUUCUAUUUCCUCUAUCAUUGUAUCCAACCCUUCCUUAUGAGUAGGUAAUGAGAGAGCCUCUUGGAAAGAUCCAGGCUCAUCAUCAUGUGCAGCAACCAUGAAUGUUUACCCCUCAAUCUCAAAACGAUGACGGGGAACUCCCACACGUGUGCUCCUACGAAGUUCAGGCUCCUCAUCUAAAGGUAAGUCGCUCCCAUUAUCCCCAGGAGGUAUCGGAGUUGUCUCCUCUGCCUCAACUGAACGAAUAGAAGUGCCAAUACUAGAGUCAUCCAUCUCAUGGAUCUCAAUUUCAUUUCGAACCUCACCUCUAUAAGGAAAAUCCUCCUCGAGGAAUUCAACAUCUCGUGACUCAAUCUCAGUCAAACUUUCAUCUGGCUGCUGUCUGAUGAACACGUUGUUAGUUGUAUGCCCUAGAAGCCUAUCAGGCUGACGCAUUUUAUUUUCUAUGGGACAUAUAUUUGUACUUAAUUUUUAUUAUUUAUAUAAUUGGGCUUUUUAUUCCAUUCAUNNNNNNNNNNNNNNNNNNNNNNNNNNNNNNNNNNNNNNNNNNNNNNNNNNNNNNNNNNNNNNNNNNNNNNNNNNNNNNNNNNNNNNNNNNNNNNNNNNNNCACACACACAACAGUGAUAAAGAGCAAGAGAACAAAGAAUAAAGAACAAAGGUAAAGUGAAAAGAACUAAAGAACAUUGCAUAAUCUGCAUGCUAUAAUGUUAUCAAUUCCUUGUUUUGUUCAGCUGAUAAUUAGCAUCAUGUUAUCAGCUGGUUACAGAAUACUUCAGCUUACACCUUUCUAUUAUGCCUGAAUUAGUCCUAUGUGGAAAGUCGGUGCAUGUGAGGCCGAACCCAUGGUGAACUUUGUGUGUAGUUCUCACCCGACUAUUCCACCCCAGAGGCUCGGGACCGAAAGGAGCGCGCGAGCGACCGAGGUAAAGGUAUGCCCGCCUUAGUCAGAGGCCACCACAGUUAGGGUUUCAUUUUGUAGUAUAAGUACCCUACAUUCAUCUUUGUACUUGAUGAUAAUGGUGUAAAGAAGCACUGUAAUGUGUAUUUGAGGUAAAUGUGUAUGUAAGGAACGAAAGAUGAAUCGAAAUGUAGAGAAAAUAUCGAAAAGUUUACAAGGUGAUGUAUGUAUAGCACGUGAUCUAAAUGAUCAUAUACUUAUGAAAUGUGUUAGUUUUCGCUCUUUUAUCACUAAUGGCUAUGUUGCUUCCACAUCAACGUGUAAGCCGUUGUGUUGUUGUAGUCAGAUUCUUUGUCUUGAAUUUUGUACAUGUUGAUGACCUUGGCGGAUAGGGGAAACUCCUGUCUUCGCUCUGUUACGUGCGUCGGUGUCCAAAUUGGCAUCGGUCCGCGGGCCGUGGACAUCAUGCAUUUAAGUGCAUCUAAAAUUAUGGGGGGCAGUAAUAAUUCCUUUAACAUAUGAACAUGAAUUUUAAAAACAAUUUUACAACAAGGUAAAGAGCCAUGGGGACCAUUUACGCACCUAUUUCGCACGAAGCGAAACCCCCGUCGCAACAGGAAAAGCUUUCUGUUUCCACGACGAAGUACUCCACCACACUCCUAAGUACCUAAAGGUAAUGAAAACGAAGUGCAUCUAACGCGAAACGAACACUCGCUAAGUUCAAAUCAUUAACCCAACUCCGAGCUAUGAGGUUGGGAGAAAACCACUCUCAAGUGAAAACCCUCUCUUAAUCAUCAACAUGGAAGUAAGGGAUCAUCAUCAAGCAUAACCUUAUCAGUUCCCAAACCAGUACAAAAAGGGCUUCAAAAGCCUCGAAAUCAAAAAGCCCAAUUCUAACCCUAAGAGAUCCCAAUCUAGGUGUUCAUACUAAGUAAACCAGCAAAUCAUGUAUCAAGUAGGGGUUACAUGCUACCAACCUCAUGAGGUAGCUUCAAUCCAAGCUCAAAACAAAUAGCGGUUGAAGCUUGAAUCUCCACAAAGCUCCAACGCGCUAAGCUCGAAGCCAUCCAAGGUGAAAAUGAGGAAGAAGAUGAUGAGCUCCAAGGCCUCCAAGCACAAGCUCCUUCCUGCUUCUUCUUCUCCUUCUCUCGUCUCCAUUUCUUCUUCUCUCUCUAAGAUAGGUGGGAAGGAAGGAAAUGUAGGAAGUGAAGAGGUGAAAUGCCAUAUAGACCAUCUAAAGCACAAAAUCCACUUUAGGGUCCCUCAAAACUCAAAUUUACAACUCAAGCCGACGGACUGGCAGAUUUCGCCAGAGGGACGGACGGUCUCUCCCCAGCAGGGACCCGAGUCUAUCGCUGCGAAUGCCGAAACAACGUUCGGGACCGGUCUCUCCCUGCGCGGGACCGGUCUCGUCCCACGCGCAUGACGCGCUCGGGGAUCCGGCUCUCGGACUGCCAGGUGACCGGUUGCCUCGCCGCAUGCGGCAGCACGAUGUUUACGGGGGACCGUCUCAUCCUAAUUGGACGUCGCCCGAGAGUAAAAAUCCAUCUCAGGAACUCGUGCGCAAACUCUCAGAAUCGACUUUAGGCCGGUAUACCAUCGACGGCCCUCCACUAAGUGUGGAAAAGUUCGGAAUACGCAUCAAACACUCGAACCUCGCAAUUUGCAAAGGUCCAGUGUGCUACAUAUCUUUACAUUGGCUUUUCGUAACGUUAAUCCGAGCGCACCAACGCGUCGGAAAUGCCCCCAAUUAGGUUUCUAGAGGGUCAAUUGCACUUUAGAAACAUCACGAGCAAAAGCCCUAAUUUGGGUGCCCUAGCUCCAUAGCAUACAUCAAACCUAGGGUUUGAUCUCAUUGGGAAGCAAAACAAGCUUCAUUCUACUCUAGAGACUCCACAAAAAUCAUCUCUAGGUCAAUCCAAACCCUAGUUUGGAUUCUACCAUGAGAGGGUAUGAAGCUCUCCUUCAAGCUUCACCUCCAAUACUAAACCCAUGGUCUUGAUCUCAAAUGAAGCAAAAGAAAAGCUUCAAGGACUCAAAAGGUUUCAUUAAAACCAUCUCUAGGUCACAUAGUUCCCAUUUUAGGGUUUUAGCAUGAUUAGGGUUGAAGCUUACCUCAAAGCUUUCCCUAUCUUCAAGCUAGAGAUGAGGGAGAGGGAGUUUCUCCACUCCUUCUUCUUCUUCUCCACUUUCUUCUUCUUCUUUUCCUUCCUUUCCUUUGUCUUCUUCUUCUUCUUCUUUGUCUUCUAGAGAGAGAAAGAGAGGAGAGAGUGUGAGAGGGUGUGAAAUGAGAAAAAUAUCUCAUUUGCCCUCAAACUUGACUCCAUUGGUUGCAAAAAUGCAAUUAAACCCCUCAGUUUUUAUCUUAUUACACUGCAAGAACUGGGCAGAUUUCGGGCUCGGGGACCGGUCUCCCCGACUUGGGACCGGUCCCAGAGAGCUCUCCCCGCAGCUGCGCAGGGCUCACGCGCGAUGCAACCGGUCUCUCACUAGGGGACCGAUCUCUCACUAGGGGACCGAUCUCUCCGGGACCGGUCUCUCCCCGCAGGGACCAGUUCCCGAGAGCUGGUUUUCUGGGACUUAGCCGAUUUUUCAGCUUUCUCAGUUUUCACACGUUCGGGGACCGGUCUCUCCCACCAGGGACUGGUCCCCGAGAGCAUGUCACGCCCCGGGGCACAGCGGAAACCCGCCCGGCACAUGCACAGACCCGCCAUACGUCUAAAACAUAUUAGGCGUCUAAAAACAACGAUGAAUAAAGCAAUAAUAAAAGACAUUUAGGAGUAUCAGAGUAUAAUAAAUGACUAAGUUCUACAAUAGAGGAAAGAACAUAAGCGAUAAUCCACUAAGUAAAAACGUAAAGUAAUACAAAGAGAAAUCCCAAAUACAAGAGCUAAAAGAGUACAUAGGUGGUCUUUAUACAUGGUAAACAAAAUCCCGCUCUCCCAAAACAUAAAAAGAGGGAAAACCACCUAAGAGUAAAAGUGAAUCCUCGCUAUCUAGCUAGCGAUCCCCUUGCCGCGGUCCCGUGCCUCCGCCGGUGCAGAGGGCUCUGAAAGGGAAACAUAAAACAGAGGGUGUGAGAACUAUUAAAUAAUAGUUUCCAGUGGGCAAUUACUGGCUUCAGUGAAUGCACCACUAGGCCCAAAAACUGAAAAGAAAAGGGUGAGUAACAAUAAGGCAGUAAAGCGAAAAGUAAGUAAAAAUGUAACUUACUACGACUUGAUAUCUCUACUUAGCAUGGAUGGCAUAAGUAUAAAAGCAACUGUACAUGAAGUAUAAGUCUACAACUAUCAUGAUGUCCACAAGCUAAAUAGUAAAAUGUCAUUGUUUACUAUUCUAGUCCAAGUCCACUUGACACUUUAAUAGUUUUAAAGUUCACAUAGCACGUCACUAAGUUCCAAUCAAAUAAGACCAACCCGACGGCUGUCUGGCCUACGCCGUGCCUAAUGGCCCCGUGGUAGUCAACAUCCCCACUCUAGGAAUGAGCCUCCCCCACGGCAUCCCAUUUCGGCGCCCAAUCCCUUACGGCGAGCAUAUGUCGCGAUGGCUAUCUCCGGAGUGCCGGCUUGUAGGGAGCGACCCUCACAAGCAUGUGCGAAUGAGCACAAUGGCAAGCAAGCAAUGAUCUGUCUCAAGUACCAAGUCCUCAUGUCUAAAAACAUGGAAUAUAACAAAUAUCUCAAUGGCCUAUCCCUAUGUCAUCAUGUCUCUAACAUAGAUUAUAGCAGAUGUACAAUGGCCUAUCAAUAUGUCUCUAUGUUGCAGUUUCAUAGUUUGCUAGUUUCGAGUGCCCCUUUAUGACACUUUGUCCUCUUUGUCCAAGCAUAAUACGUACGUUCCAAGGUACAUAUUUCAAGUCAUUAUCUUCGUAAGAGAUAUGUUAUCAACUUGCAAAUGUAAACACUUUUCCACAUGCAUGCAGUCUACUCAUAUAGCUCUACUGUAUAGUGAAAUUUUUGUGAUACAUAAGGCAUGCAUUUUAAGUGUUUCAAAAUUCAUAAUAAUUCUAUCUAGUAUGAAUAUGCAUUUACUUUCACAAAAAGACGAGUAUUUUACUCAUAGGGGCCAUUUUGCCCCGAUUCAUGAAGCCAAACCCACCAAUUUUUCGAACUCUCCGUUUCUCCGAACGAAGGUGUCCGCUAGCCUCCUAGCACCCUAAGGAUGUAGAAACAAGGGUUACCCAAACGAAACGAACAACGGAUUGAUCAAUCAAUAAGCAUUUCAAGCUAAAGUUGAAGAAAACUCACCGAUUGCGAAGGAAGCUCUCUCGAUCUCCAAAUAGGAGUUAGAGUCCUUCCAACCUAACCUAAACAGGUUCUAAACCCAUCAAUUUGGUUGCAAAGCCCUCAAAUAAAAAAUCCCCAAAUCUAACCCUACAAUCCAAAAUCUAGGAUUUCCAAAGAGAGAACCUACCAAAACAAGCUCUAAAAGAGAGAUCAUGAGUACUCACCACACAAGAUGUCCCAAACCAAGCUCCAAGUCCUCUAGGGUUGAAGGUUGAUCCUCAAUCAAGCUCCAACCAAGAUCUCAAGCUUCUCCAAUGGUGGAAAACCCACAAAAAGCAAGAAGGAGAAGAAGAAAGAGAUCAAAACUAGGUAAAUCCCUCAAAAAUGAGGAAGAAAUCAAGGGGGAGAAGUUCUCACCUUGUCUCCACAGGUCUAGGGCUCAAAAGAGCCCCCCAAGGGCUGUGGUGGGGUUUAAAUAGAGUUGCAACAAUUGCAAAAACACCCCUGCCCGAAAAACAGGCAAGUCUGCACUGUGUACUGGUACACGAGUUUGUGUACCAGUACACAUCCCACGAACCAGCCCAACCCGAGCCUCGGGUUGGCGCACUGGCUGCCAGGGCCGAUGGCUGUACCGGUACAGCCAUCACCGCGUACCGGUACACUGCCCUACAGCAAGCUACCCGAGAGCUGACCAAAAAUCUGACUUUUCGAAUUUUGGUGCUAGGUUUUAAACCUCCAAUCUCGGGGUUCGAACCAUGGGUCGGAACACUAUCCACGACUGUCACGCCCCGGGGCCCAGCGGAAGCCCGCCCGGCACAUGCCCAGACCCGCCAUACGUCUAAAACAUAUAAGGCGUUUAAAAACAACAACAAUAAAAGCAAUAAUAAAAGACAUCUAGGAGUAUUAGAGCAUAGUAAAUGUCUAAAUGCUACAACAAGGGAUAAGGAUAAAACUGUAAAUCCACUAAANAACUGAAAUGGAAGCUCAAUAUAGCAUGAAGUCACUACUUUCAUCAGUAAUAAUCUACCACAUGAUCUCUACUUAGCAUGGAUUUGCAUAAGUAAUAAACUACUACAUGAUCUCUACUUAGCAUGAAUUUGCAUAAGUAAUAAACUACCACAUGAUCUCUACUUAGCAUGGAUUUGCAUAAGUAAUAAACUACCAUGGCAUAAUUGCAGAAGUAAAAGCCCAACACCAUGAUCACAAGGUAGAAUGGUAAUGUGUCAUUAUCUACUAUUCUACUCAAUGUCCAAAAGGUACAAUAUGUCACUAGUAACCCAAUCUUGUGGAAGCUACCCGUAGGUAGUCCGGCCUGCGCCGUGCCAACAAUGGUCCCGUGGUAGUCAACAUCCCCACUCUAGGAAUGAGCCUCCCCCAUGGCAUCCCAUUUUGGCGCCCAAUCUCGCACGGGCGAGCAUAUGUCGCGAUGGCUAUCUCCGGAGUGCCGACUUGUAGGGAGCGACCCUCACAAGCAUGUGCGAAUGAGCACAAUGGCAUGCAAGCGAAUGAGUCCGUCUUAGGUCCCAGUGGUUCAUCACUGUUUCAUCGGAUCUAAAACCCGGAAUACAGCACAUGUCCCAAAGGCCUGCCUCUAUGUCUUCGUGUCUAAAACACGGAAUAUAGUAACUGUCUCAAUGGCCUAUCUCUAUGUCAUCAUGUCUAAAACAUGAAAUAUAGUAGAUUCCCAGUGGCCUAUCAUCAUGUCUCUAAGUUGUAGUUCAACAAUUUUCUAGUUCAAGUGCCCCUUUAUGACACUUUUGCUUACUAUGUCCCAAUAUGAAUAUUAAGUCUAAAAGCUUGUCAUUCUAAUCAUUUUCUACACAAGAAAUAUGGUCUUACAUCAUUCAUUAGAGCAUUAAACUCAUGCAUACUAACAAUGCAUAUGCUUUUCUCAACAACAUAGUGUAAUAUGUCGAAAGUUCGGAAAAUAAAUAUCAAACUUUAGUCAAAUUGACCAAAGUGUGAGGACGGUACACUUCAGAAAGUCCGGAGGUGUUAAAAUGAGUAAAAGUGUGUUGAGGAAGGUUUUCAAGAGCUAAAGAAUCAAAAUCUGCAUUCUGCAGAAUUUUAGCUCUCGGGGACCGGUCCCUGGUGGGUGAGACCGGUCCCCGAACGCGUGAGGAAUGAGACAGCCGAAAAAUUGGCUAAGUCCCAGAAGAGUAGCUCUCGGGAACCGGUCCCUGCCGGGAGAGACCGGUCCCCGAGAGACCGGUCCCCCAAGGAGAGACCGGAUGCAUCGCGCGUAGCCCUGGCUGCCCGCGGGAAGAGCUUUCUGGGACCGGUCCCAAGUCGGGGAGACCGGUCCCCGAGCCCGAAAUCUGCCCAGUCCAGGCAGUGUAAUAAAAUAAAAGUUGAGGGGUUUAGCUGCAAUUUUGCAACCCAUUGAGCUAUGUAUGAGGGGUAAUGAGGUAUUUCUCUCAUUCUACUCCCUCUCACACUCUCAUCUCUUUUUCUCUCUCUAGAAGACAAGAAGGAGAAGAAGAAAACAAAGGAAAGGAAGGAAAAGAAGAAGAAGAAAGUGGAGAAGAAGCCAUUGGAGUGAAGCAACUUCAUCUUCUUUCUCUCUAGUGCAAGAAAGGAGCAAGCUUAGAGGUAAGCUUUGCCCCUUUUCAUGUUAAUUCCCAAACUAGGGUUUGGGUAAACCUAGAAAUGGUUUUUAUAGAGCUUUUAGAGUCUUUGAAGCUUUCUUUUUGCUUCUUUUGAGAUCAAGACUAUGGCAUGAGUAAAAGAGGUGAAGCUUGAAGGUGAGCUUGACACCUCUCAUGGUGAAACCCUAAAAUGGGUUUUAGUAAAGCUAAGAAUGAUUUAGAUGGACUCUUUAGAGUAUAAUGAAGCUACUUUUGCUUCCCAAUGAGAUCAAACCCUAGGUUUGAUAAUGCUAUAGAGCUAGGGCACCCAAAUUGGGGCUUUUGCUCAUGGGGAUUUCUAAGUGCAAUUGACCCUCUAGAAACCUAAUUGGGGGUAUUUCCGACGGGUUGGUGCGCUCGGAUUAACGUUACGAAAAGCCAAUGUAAAGAUAUGGGCAAAAUGGCCUAUGUUGGCUUCGUUUUGCCGUAGGUGAAGAACGAGGAGCCUAAAGAUCCCAAGGAAAUUACCGGAGCACCUAAGAAAGCCUACGAGGUGGGUGGUGCUUUUCAAACUUGUUGAACUUCUGUCACGCCCCGGGACCCAGCGGAAGCCCGCCCGGCACGUGCCCAGACCCGCCAUACGUCUAAAACAUAUAAGGCGUCUAAAAACAACAAUAAUAAAAGCAAUAAUAAAAGACAUCUAGGAGUAUCAGAGCAUAGUAAAUGUCUAAAUGCUACAACAAGGGAUAAGGAUAAAACUGUAAAUCCACUAAAGAAAACAUAAAGUGACACAAGAAAAUCCCAAAUACAAGUGCUAUAGGUAAAUACAUAGGUGGUCUCUAUACAUGGAUACAAAAACCUCUCACUCUCUCAACUACAAAAAGAAAGAGUAAACCACCUAGGCAAAGUAUCGCUCUUCGCUAGCUAGCUAAGCGAUCCCCUUGCCGCGAUCCCAUGCCUCCGCCGGUGCCGAAGGCUCUGAAAAGUAAACCAUAAAACAGGGGCGUGAAAACUAUUAAAAAUAGUUCCCAGUGGGCAAUUACUGACUUCAGUGAAUGCACCACAAGGCCCAAAGCUACAAAAGAUGUCAGUGACUAUAAAUGUAGAAAAGCGAAAGGUAAGUAAAAAUGCAACUUACUACAACAUGAUAUCUCUACUUAGCAUAAAUAACAUAAGUAUGAAAGCAACUAUGCAUGAAGUAAAAGUCUCCAACUAUCAUAAUGUUCACAAUUCCGAAAUAGUAAAGUUCCGUUCGUUUACUAUUUCUAGUCAGAUGAUCCAAGUAAUACCACUAAGUCAUCGUCGUCACAUGUCAUAGUAUGAAUACUCAAAGUCAAACCUGGAGAGACCCACCCGAUAGGCUGUCUAUGGCCCUUGAGACCCACCCCGUAGGCUGUCUUGCCGAUCCUGUGCCUAAUGCCCCGUGGUCAGUCAUCAAUCCCCACACCUAGGAAUGAAAGCCUGGCCCACGGCAAUUCCACUUCGUGCGCCAUCCCCGCACGCUCAGAAUAAAUGAAGAAAUAUCGCCGUAUGCUCAUCUCCGGCCCAGUGCCAGCUUGUAGGUGGCGACCCCUCAAGCAAGAUGUGCGAAUGAGCACGAUGGCCAAGUAAUUCAAUGAUCUGUCGCAAGUACCGAAGUCCUCAUUCUAAUAACAUGGAAUUGUGUCACAGUAUCUCAAUGGCCUAUCCCUAUGUCCUCAUGUCUCUAACAUGGAAUAUAGGCAGAUAUGUGUGGGCCAAAUCAGUAUUGUCUCUGAUGUUUCAGUUUCAUAGUUUACUAGUUUCAAUGCUUCUUGAGCACUGUUAGGCUAUAAGUCCAAACAUAGUUUAUAAUUUUCAGAUACACGGAAAUAUGAGCUAAAUUAGCAUACUAGACGGAGAAUUAACCAUUCGUCCCUGAACACCCUCACAUGCAUAAAAUACCGCCGAUUACUCUACUAUGUAGAGUGAAAUUUAACUUUACACAUAGGCAUCAUGCAUUUUUAAGUGUUCUAAAUUCACAUAAAUUCCAAAAUAACAUAGAAAUUGCAUUCAAAAAUACUUUACGAAAAGUUUUAGAAAUGCAUUAGGGCGCCAUUUCACCCCGUUUUCAUAAUCAAACCACCGUCUUCACAGAAAGCUUUCGUUUGCCACACGAAAGGCGUCCACCAACACUCUAGUACCCUAAAGGAUAUGAGAACAAAGAUCUUAGUCGAGCAACGAACGACGCUAAGUUCAAUCUUUAAGCUAUUCAAGCAUAGGUGGAGGAGGAAAACUCACCUCAAAGUGCAAAAAUUCCUCUAUAACCUCCAAAGAGAGCUAGAGUCCACUCCAAUCUCACUAAAGGAAGCUUCUAAGCCAAUCAAUUCUAGCUUCAAAAGCCAGUUCAAAUACCCAAAAAUAACCCUAAUAUUUCACAAUCUAGGGUUUCAUCUCAAAUCCAUCAAUAAAGCUCAAGUCUAGAGGGAGAGAACAAGUCACUUACCUCUAAGAAGCUUCAAACCAAGCUCCAAAAUCCUCAAAGUGUGGAGAUCUCCCUCUUCCCAAGCUCCAAGGUCAAGCUCCAAUGGAGGAAAAGCUUCCAACAAGCAAAAAGAGCAAAAAGAGGGUUUAAUCCUCCAAAAUCCAAGAGAAUGGGAUCAAAUCCAAGGGAGGAGGAGAAGAAGGGUGCCCUACCUUGCCCUCUCUGUGAUCUGAGCUCAGGAGAAGCCCUAAGGGGCGUGGGGUACUAAAUAGAAGGCUACAAUUGCGAAAACCCCCUGCAGUUCAAACUGCUCAGAUUCUGCCAAAGUGUACCGGUACACGGGAAAGUGUACCGGUACAAAUCCUACGAAAAUGCAAACCCGAGGCUCGGGUUUGAAAUUCGUCACAAGUGUACCGGUACAGCCAUCAAAAGUGUACCGGUACAAAAUGUGUACCGGUAUAGCCAUCGACCUGUCACCGGUUACACCUCGUGCAGAAUGCAAUCCGAGGGUAGGCUAAGUCCAACUCUUUGGUGACCUUAGCGCUACAUAUAAUACCACAAUUCUCGGGAUACGAGCCAUGGGUCGGAACACAGUCAACGACCCACCAGAAAGUCUGGAAAACUCGGGACACUAUCCAAACACUCGAACCUCGCAAUUUGCAAAGGUCCAGUGCGUCACAACUUCCCUCUAUGCCUAAUGUGUCAUUCAAUUGAGCAUAUGUAUAUACAUUGUUGCAUGCAUUUUAGGGUAAAGUAAUGCUAAAAAUGUGAUGUUGCAUGAUUGUGAGCACAACUUGCAUAAUGUGAUGGUUAAGAACCUUAUGAAUGUCAAAAACCCUAUAUAUGUAUGCAUGAGAGAAAGUGUGAGAACCAAAGUGAGGCGAAAGAACCGAGUGACACAAUGAGACAUAGAUCGAGUGGCAUUUGAUAAUGUAAAGUGAAGAACACUAGAGUUAGUGUGGGGCAAAAGAAUCAAUGCGAUGUAAAGAUAAUGACAAUGGCUAAAGUUAAUGCAAAGUGUGGCAUCAAGAAUAAAGAAUGGAAAGAUAAUGCAAAGUGGGCAAAAAGAACAUGUAAAGAGUAAAGAACAUGAAUGCUAGAGUUAGCCAAAAGUAAAGAAAGGCAAAGAACAAUGAUUGCUAGAGUUAGCAAAAGUAUAAGAAACGUAAAGAACGUGAUUGCUAGAGUUAGCAAAAGUAAAAGAAAUGUAAAGAACAAUGAUUGCUAGAGUAGCAAUAUAAAGUGAUGUAAAGAACACUAGAGUUAGUGUAAAGUCAAGAUUGAACAUACAAUCCUUUGAGUUAAGGAUUCGAUCAUACUUGCUAUGAGUUCCGUGCUCGAGGGCGGUCGCUUCCCCUCGGGCGAUGCACUCCGGAGUUUUUGCAUCACGGGUUGGAGUAAACCCGAAGGACGGUCCUAGCGGGUGAGUUCCUGCGAUGAUGGACUUAAUGUGAAGCAAGCUUAAUGUGGCGAAACCCCCGGGUUAGCCUUGAGAUUAAAGAACAAAGAGCAAAGAACAAAGAAUAAAGAAUAAAGGAACAAAGAGUAAAGUCAAAGAACGAAAGAACUUGCAUAAUCUGCAUAUGUUUAAUGUUGAGCAUACUUCUUGCUUAUUGUUCAGGCAUAUUAGCAUCAUGUUAUAGAUUGGUUACUAUAUUCAGCUUAUCCUUUCUAUUAUGCCUGAGUUAGUCAUAGUGGGAAAGUCGGUGAUGUUGAGGCCGAACCCACUGGGAACUUUGUUGUAGUUCUCACCCCACUAUUCUACAGAGCCGGGACCGAGCGAGCCGGCGAGCGACCGAGCUAAAGGUAUCGCGCCUUAGACAGAGACCACCAGAGUUGAGCUCAGUUUACAUUUUGUUAGUAAAGUACCCUACGUUCAUCUAUUGUAUUUGAUGACUAGUGAUGUAAAGAAAAGAAUGCAAUGUUCAUUUUGAGGUGAAUGUGAUGUAAAAGAAAUGAUGAAAGAAUGUAAAGACUUUAUGUUGUAAUGUGAUGUAAUGUAAUGAAAUACAAGUAAUCGUAAAUGUCUAAGAUGGAUGCAAUGUAUAUGAUCAAAAAUGAAUCAUAGGACUUGUGUAAAGGCUUAGUUUUCCUUUCUUUCACUAAUGGCUAUCGCUUACCCUCAUGUAAGCCGUUUGUGUAUGUUUCCGCUAGUGCACUUCUUGCUUGAAAUUGUACAUGUGAUGAGCCUUGGGCGGAUAGGGAAAACUCUGUCCGUUCGGCGUCUGUUUGACGUGCUCGGGCGGGCCCAAAUUGGUAUCGGUCCCGGGGCGUGACACAUAGAGUCAAUUUUUCAUGAUGCAUAACAUAGGGGUUUUAAGCGUUCUAAAAUUCACAUAAAUUUCACAUAACAUGAAUAUGUAUGUAUUUAUAGUAUACGAAAACAUUUAACCACAUAGGAGGCAUUUCCUCCAAUUUCAAUGAAGCCAAACCCACCAAAAGCUCCGCGCGGGCGUCCGAAACGCUAACGAAGCUUCGAUGAUCACUCCUAGCACCCUAAGAGAUAGGCUAGGGAAGUUACAACAUCGAAACGACAAUUCAUGAGUCCAAACAUUAAGCAACUCAAGGAAAGGGCUAAAAACUCACUGAAAAUGGUGAAAGUCUCUCUUGAUCCCCAAAAGGAAGCAAGAAUCCUUCAAAACCAACCUAAAGGAAGGUUCCAAUAAGAUCAAUCAAGAUCAAAAAGCCUCAACUCAAAAAUCCCCAAUUCUAACCCUAAAUCUCAAAACCUAGGGUUCCAACACACAAAACCUAUCAAAACAAAGAUCAAGAGGUAGAAAAAUACUACUUACCUCUCAAGAUGCUCCAAACCAAGCUCCAAACUAAGUGGAGUUGAAGAUCUCCUCUCAAACAAGCUCCUCUCCAAGCUCCAAGCCUUCAACAAUGGAGGAAACCCAACAAAAAGCAAGGUGGAGAAGAAAGGAGAGAUCAAAACCAACCAAAAUCCACCAAAAAUGGAGAAGAAAUCAAAGGGGGAGAGUCUCACAUUGUUCUCCACUGUUUUGAGCUCAAGAGAGCUCUCAAAGGGGCUGGGGUGAGUUAUAAAGGGGUUGCAACAAUUGCAAAAACACCCCUCCACAACUUCAGCCCGCAGAGCAAAGUGUACCGGUACACGGGAAAGUGUACCGGUACAAAUCCUGCGCGACAGCAAACCCGAGCCUCGGGUUCGCAGAAAAUCUCAAGUGUACCGGUACAACCAUCAAAGUGUAUCGGUACAAAUCCUGUACUAGUACAACCAUCAAGGCUGUACCGGUACACAGCCUAGCUGAGGCCAACCCGAGAGCAGGACCAAUAAUCCAACUUUUUGGAUUUUGGUACAAGCUUUAAACCUCAAUUCUCGGGAUGCGAGCCAUAGGUCGUGACACUGUCAACGACCUUCCAGAAUAUCUGGUAAAGCUCGGAACACAGAUCAAACACUUGAACCACGCAAUUUGCAAAGGUCCAGUGUGUUACACCCUUGUCGCCCCCAGCCACCUUCACCUCGCUCCCCUGCCCUAGACGCACACCCUCGGCCGCCGCCGGCUGAGCCCGGCCGCCGCCGAGCCAUCAUCUUCUUCCCUCUCCAUCUCUCUCUCCAUCUCUCUCUUUUCUUCUCGGGUUAGAGCCCAGGCCGAGGCUGCAUUGCCUCCAGUCUCUUACCCGGCGUCUUUCCGGAGCCUCGGCGACCCUCUCCGCCGGCCGCCGCCGCCUCGAACCGCCCCUAGCGCCGCUGCUGCACCCUGCAACUUGCUGGGCCGAGCCCUGGCCGAGGCAAGCCUGCAGCCUUUCCCGAGCGCUGCCGCCACCUUGGACCACCCCCUGCCGACUUCCCGGACCCCCGGCGUCCCUCCCCGCCGGUCGCUGCAGCCCCUACGGGCCGCCGCUGCCACCUCGGCCACACCCGAGGCACUCCUCCGGCCUCCAGCAACCUCGCCGUCCCGGAGCUCCCCAGCUGCCACCGUGGCCGCCAUUGCCCAUGGAACCCGAGCCCUAGUUGGUGCGGGCUCGGUUUGCUCCGCCGUCGCCGCCGCCGCUCUCCGCCGCCAAUCGAGGUGAGCAGUGUGCUCCUUCUUUCCCCCGCACCCACUUCUGGCCCAUGCGCACCGCGCCGUGCCGCCGGAAGCCGGCCGGAGCAAGUUUGCUCCGGCCAAGCCCGAAAUAGGGCUUAGUUGAGUGGGUUUGUUGUUUUGAGCUUCCCGAGGCCUCCUGAUUAAUAUGGAAGGGAGCACGAUGAUCAUGGCAAAUAGUUGAUCAUCGUGCUCACCUUGGUUUCUGUCGUGAAGGCCCCGUUCUGCUGUUUCAGCGGUGUCGACCCUGUAGAGCCUUUUUGGCUGCUGUUUCAGGUUUGCGUGUGUUUUUUCGGCGAUCCGAGGCUGUCCCGAUGCCUCCGGAGGUGAGGAUGGUGAUCGUUGGUUAGUGCCGAUCACAGUGUUCACCUCACUUUGGAUCAACGAAUUCCGGUUAGUUCUGUUCGGCGUGAUUUUCCCCGACUGCGCGCUGUUUACAAAAAUUUUGGGUCGCUCCCGCGCCUCCCACAGUGAGUCGUUGUGCUCCGGAUCGUGAGCAUGGCCUCCGGCGCAUCGAGACCUGUCAGUACGUGUAAUAUACCGAGAAUUCGGAAAAUAAAUAUCGAACUUUAGUCGAAUUGACCAAAGUGCGAGGAUGGUACACUUCGGAAAGCCCGAAGGUGUAAAAAUGAUCAAAAGCGUGUUAUGGGAGGUUUUCGAGAGCUAAGGAAUCAAAAUCUGCAUUCUGCAGGUUUUGUGCUCUGUAACACACCGAACCGUUGCAAAUAGUGAGGUUCGAGUGUUUGAUUUGUGUUCCGAACUUUUCCACACUUUGUGGAGGGUCGUGGAUAGUGUUCCGACCCAUGGUUCGAACCCCGAUAUUGGAGGUUUAAAAGCUAGCACCAAAAUUCGAAAAGUCAGAUUUUUGGUCAGCUCUCGGGUAGCUUGCUGCAGGGCCGUGUACCGGUACGCGGUGAUGGCUGUACCGGUACAGCUAUCGGCCCUGGCAGCCAGUGCUCCAACCCGAGGCUCGGGUUGGGCUGGUUCGUGGGAUGUGUACCGGUACACAAACCCGUGUACCGGUACACAGUGCAGACUGGGCUGUUUUUCGGGCAGGGGUGUUUUUGCAAUUGUUGCAACUCUAUUUAAACCCCACCACAGCCCUUGGGGGGCUCUUUUGAGCCCUAGACCUGUGGAGACAAGGUGAGAACUUCUCCCCCUUGAUUUCUUCCUCAUUUUUGAGGGAUUUAUCUAGUUUUGAUCUCUUUCUUCUUCUCCUUCUUGCUUUUUGUGGGUUUUCCACCAUUGGAGAAGCUUGAGAUCUUGGUUGGAGCUUGAUUGAGGAUCAACCUUCAACCCUAGAGGACUUGGAGCUUGGUUUGGGACAUCUUGUGAGGUGAGUACUCAUGAUCUCUUUUUUAGAGCUUGUUUUGGUAGGUUCUCUCUUUGGAAACCCUAGAUUUUGGAUUGUAGGGUUAGAUUUGGGGAUUUUCUAUUUGAGGGCUUUGCAACCAAAUUGAUGGGUUUAGAACCUUUGUUUAGGUUAGGUUGGAAGGACUCUAACUCCUAUUUGGAGAUCGAGAGAGCUUCCUUCGCAAUCGGUGAGUUUUCUUCAACUCUAGCUUGAAAUGCUUAUUGAUUGAUCAAUCCGUUGUUCGUUUCGUUUGGGUAACCCUUGUUCCUACAUCCUUAGGGUGCUAGGAGGCUAGCGGACACCUUCGUUCGGAGAAACGGAGAGUUCGAAAAAUUGGUGGGUUUGGCUUCAUGAAUCGGGGCAAAAUGGCCCCUAUGAGUAAAAUACUUGUCUUUUUGUGAAAGUAAAUGCAUAUUCAUACUAGAUAGAAUUAUUAUGAAUUUUGAAACACUUAAAAUGCAUGCCUUAUGUAUCACAAAAAUUUCACUAUACAGUAGAGCUAUAUGAGUAGACUGCAUGCAUGUGGAAAAGUGUUUACAUUUGCAAGUUGAUAACAUAUCUCUUACGAAGAUAAUGACUUGAAAUAUGUACCUUGGAACGUACGUAUUAUGCUUGGACAAAGAGGACAAAGUGUCAUAAAGGGGCACUCGAAACUAGCAAACUAUGAAACUGCAACAUAGAGACAUAUUGAUAGGCCAUUGUACAUCUGCUAUAAUCUAUGUUAGAGACAUGAUGACAUAGGGAUAGGCCAUUGAGAUAUUUGUUAUAUUCCAUGUUUUUAGACAUGAGGACUUGGUACUUGAGACAGAUCAUUGCUUGCUUGCCAUUGUGCUCAUUCGCACAUGCUUGUGAGGGUCGCUCCCUACAAGCCGGCACUCCGGAGAUAGCCAUCGCGACAUAUGCUCGCCGUAAGGGAUUGGGCGCCGAAAUGGGAUGCCGUGGGGGAGGCUCAUUCCUAGAGUGGGGAUGUUGACUACCACGGGGCCAUUAGGCACGGCGUAGGCCAGACAGCCUUCGGGUGGGUCUUAUAUGAUUGGAACUUAGUGACGUGCUAUGUGAACUUUAAAACUAUUAAAGUGUCAAGUGGACUUGGACUAGAAUAGUAAACAAUGACAUUUUACUAUUUAGCUUGUGGACAUCAUGAUAGUUGUAGACUUAUACUUCAUGUACAGUUGCUUUUAUACUUAUGCCAUCCAUGCUAAGUAGAGAUAUCAUGUCGUAGUAAGUUACAUUUUUACUUACUUUUCGCUUUACUGCCUUAUUGUUACUCACCCUUUUCUUUUCAGUUUUUGGGCCUAGUGGUGCAUUCACUGAAGCCAGUAAUUGCCCACUGGAAACUAUUAUUUAAUAGUUCUCACGCCCUCUGUUUUAUGUUUCCCUUUCAGAGCCCUCUGCACCGGCGGAGGCACGGGACCGCGGCAAGGGGAUCGCUAGCUAGAUAGCGAGGAUUCACUUUUACUCUUAGGUGGUUUUCCCUCUUUUUAUGUUUUGGGAGAGCGAGGGAUUUUGUUUACCAUGUAUAGAGACCGCCUAUGUACUCUUUUAGUUCUUGUAUUUGGGAUUUCUCUUUGUAUUACUUUACAAUUUUACUUAGUGGAUUAUCGCUUAUGUUCUUUCCUCUAUUGUAGAACUUAGUCAUUUAUUAUGCUCUGAUACUCCUAGAUGUCUUUUAUUAUUGCUUUAUUCAUCGUUGUUUUUAGACGCCUUAUAUGUUUUAGACGUAUGGCGGGUCUGUGCACGUGCCGGGCGGGUUUCCGCUGUGCCCCGGGGCGUGACAGAUUAAUUUGGUAUCAGAGCCUAGGGUUGAGUCUUAGUGGACCUAGCAAACCUUAGGCCGGUUGGACUAUAGGAAAUAGGCUCGUGAGAGAUGAGGUCUAUUCGACUUGUAAGUGAAAGUAUCUUGAUUGGGUAUCUUUGAUAACUCUAGAAAGUGGAGUUAAAUUGAAGUGUAUAGCUCCUAACUUCGCGGAGGGUUACGUUGGCGGCCAACAACGUAACAUCGGGAGUUAGUGGUGAAGAAUACUUCCUUACUUUCGCAUGAUUUGGGUAUUGUCUAUUUGAGCGGGGAUGCGAUAGCAUGAGCUUUACUAACUUGCGCUUUUAUGAUGUUGUAGUGCGAUGCCGAUUACACGCUCUCAAUCCGCUGGAGUUGAUACUGCGGCAAACCUGGAGGAGGUCGAGACCUCCGCUACCUCCGGAUUCGGCAAGGUCCGCGAGUUGAGGGGCCAGCUUGCGGCCCUCACUGAUAUGGUGACCCAGCAAACUGAGGCGGCGCGCCGACAGGAGGCGCGGAUGAAGCGCCUCGAGGACCUUCUUCUGCAGCAGGCGGCAGCUUCUAGGGAGACUCAGGCCCCUACACCGCCAGCACCAGUUGUGGACAUCGCGCCGAGAGCGCCGUCCCCUGCGCCUAGUUCGUCGCGUGCAGCGCCCGUAGCCGCGCCUUAGGAGGAGGGUUUGGCGGCGCCACCUGUUCGGGCACCCCCGAUUGGAGCAGCAUUCCCUACAUUGGUCGAGGGGGCGGAGCGAGAUAGACUGAUGGAGCGCCUCAAUGAGUUUAGGAGGUGCAGCCCCCGAGUAUUCGACGGCGAGAAGGUCGACCACUGGAUCGUGGAGAAGUGGUUGAUGCAUAUGGAGAAGCUCUUCCGCGACACCUUCGUGGAGGAGAGGGACAGAGUUUGGCUUGCCACUCACCACUUGGACGGCGAGGCUUACCGCUGGUGGUUGGAUCUCCAGGAGUACCCCAGCACUGACUUGGCGGCUAUUACUUGGACGAGGUUCAAGGAACUUCUGUUGGUGCACUACUUCCCGACUAGUGUCAAGCGGAAGAUGGAGCAGGACUUGCGCAACUUGCGCCAAGGUGAUCGUACCGUAGCCGAGUACGAGAGGGAGUUCUCUCGGCUUUUGCACUGCGUGCCCUUUGUCGUGCGGGACGACGAGGACAAGGCCCGUAUCUUCGAGCGAGGAUUGCGACCUUCGAUCUACCGGUUUGUGCAAUCCUCCAACCUCCAAACCUACCGGGAGGUGGUGGAUCGCGCGCUUAUCGUGGAGAGCGGCGCGGCAGAGGUACAGGAGCGGCGUGAGGCCAUGGACAAAGGCAAGGCCAAGAGGCCUGCGGCUGAGGGUGCGAGCCAGACGCACUCUAGGAGGCCGCCGAAGCAUCCGAAGAGCCAGCAGCGUGGACGCGGCUCAGCAGCACAGCGAGGGGGUUAUGACCGACGCCGGCCCUCCCCGUGUGUGAUCUGUGGUGGACCUCAUCACCCACCGCAGUGUCCACAGUGGGCGGGCAGGUGCUUCCAGUGUGGCCAGGGAGGGCCACGUGCGGACUGAGUGCCCGAGGGGUUCUUCACCGGCACCGUCGACUGCAUCGGCACCGACUCUACCAGCCGCCAGCCACGGGACUCCAUCGGCGCAGUACCAGCCUGGGCGGCCAUCCGUCCAACGGCAGAGCGAGGGUUUUCGACAGGCCCCGAGCGGGCGCAUGUAUGCCGCUCAGACCGAGGAGGCGGCAGCAGCCGAGGAUGUGGUCGCAGGUAUCAUUUUACUUGAUGGCAUUAAAGUUCGUGCAUUAUUUGAUACCGGUGCAUCACAUUCAUUCAUAGAUCGGCUAUUUGCCGAGUUGCAUGGCAUCCCGUUAGUUUCCUUAUUGCAUCCGGGACAUGUUGUAGUACCCGACCACGUUUUGGAUAUUAAAGAGUAUAGCCCCAGUUGCCCUAUUCGGGUGGGAGAUUGGGUUAUGCCCGUGGAUUUGCUAGCUCUGCGUAAGCUAGGGGACUUCGAUGUGGUCUUAGGCAUGGAUUGGUUAACCAAGUAUGAUGCCACGAUUGAUUGCAAGAAUCGCACGGUUACUUUUAGAGAACCGGGACAAGUUGAGAUGAUAUUUAGAGGAUGCCAGAGUUCGCUUUUUGCGAUGACGAUCAGCUCGUCUCGAGCCAGGCAGCUGAUCAGCAGAGGUUGUGUAGCCUACUUGGCUAGUGUUGUGUUGAGGGGCGAGGGUGAUACCCCUAGGAUUGAGGAUAUCCCGGUGGUGCGGGAGUUUUGUGACGUGUUUCCAGCUGAGCUACCGGGUAUGCCACCCGAUAGGGAGAUCGAGUUUGUGGUAGAUCUCGUCCCUGGGACUACUCCAAUCUCGAAAGCGCCCUAUAGGAUGGCACCGGCGGAGCUGAAGGAGCUGAGGGCACAGCUGCAGGAUCUUCUGGAUAAAGGCUUCAUUCGACCGAGCGUCUCGCCUUGGGGGACACCCUUUUUAUUCGUCAAAAAGAAAGACGGAUCGCUACGCCUAUGUGUGGACUAUCGUGAACUUCAUAAAGUCACGAUCAAGAAUAAGUAUCCGUUGCCGAGGAUCGACGACCUGUUUGAUCAGCUACAGGGAUCGUGUGUGUAUUCCAAGAUAGACUUGCAGUCGGGAUACCACCAAUUGAAGAUCAAAUCCGAGGAUGUAUCGAAGAUGGCUUUUAGAACACGGUAUGGACAUUAUGAGUUUACUGUUAUGCCGUUUGGGCUUACUAACGCCCCGGCAGCUUUUAUGGAUCUAAUGAACCGUGUUUUCAAGCCUUAUCUAGACAGGUUCGUCGUGGUGUUUAUCGACGACAUUUUGGUCUACUCCCGAAGUGAUGUGGAUCACGAGGAACACUUAAGGAUUGUGCUUCAAGUACUUCGAGAAAAGGAGCUUUAUGCCAAGUUGAAGAAAUGUGAAUUUUGGCUUCGAGAGGUAGCCUUCCUUGGACACUUGAUUUCAAGGUCAGGUAUAGCCGUGGAUCCCAAGAAGAUUGAAGCAAUCAAGGAUUGGCCGAGACCGACGAGCGUCACGGAGAUACGGAGUUUCCUUGGAUUUGCCGGCUACUACUAGAGAUUUGUUGAGGGAUUUGCUAAGUUAUCUACUCCCCUCACGAGGCUCACGUAUAAAGGAGUCAAGUUUAUUUGGAAUGAUGCGUGCAAGAGAAGCUUCCAAGAGUUGAAGCAGAGAUUGACGACCGCCCCGAUCUUGACCCUACCAGUAGCUGGAGCAGGGUAUGUGGUUUAUAGUGAUGCUUCACUUAAUGGAUUGGGCUGUGUAUUUGUAACAUACCACGUCCCUCGUAAAUCGUGCCGAGUUCCGUCGAAAUGAGCGGAACCCGGAGUGGAGCGAGUUAGCAUGGACCCUAGGAGCAUUAGAGUCCAUAAAUGGAGCUAAAGGGACCCGAGAGAGCAAAUCUGAAAAUCUGGCUAAGUCCCAGAUUUCGAGCUCUCGGGGACCGGUCCCUGAAGGAGAGACCGGUCCCCGUACGCGUAGCCUGCCAGGAAGUCCUGAGGCAACCGGUCCCUGGUGGUGAGACCGGUCCUCGGGAGACCGGUCCUGGAGAGGCAGACCGGUCCCUCACUGCGCAGCAGCUGAAAAACCCGAAAAUUUGGCUAAGUCCUGAAAACCCCACGUUCGGGAACCGGUCCCUGGUCGGGGAGACCGGUCCCCGAAAGCGAAAAAUGCCCAGUCUGGGCAGAUCAUGGGAAAUAAGUGGAGGGGCUUAAGUGCAAUUGUUAUAACACUUUAUAUGGGCCAUCCCCUCUCUCCCACAGCCAUUUCCCUCCUCCUCUCUCAUUUUCUCUCUUUUUCUCUCUAGAACUCCUCUAGAACUUGGAGAAGAAGAAGAAGAACUUGGAGAAGAAGGUGGAUUUGGUGUUUUGGAGGUUCUAGGAGCUCUCCAACAAGAAGAGUCUUGGUGGAGCUUGGACUAGAGGUGAGUUCUUGCAAGACUUCCUCUAGGGUUUGGGUUUUAACCUAAGGAUUUGGAGCUUUGUGCUCCUUAGAGGCUUUAGAGGCUCUUUUGAGCCAUGGAUGCCAUGGUACACAUGAGAGCUCAAGGUGCUCUCAUGGUGAAUCCUUGGAAGUUGAGUUAGAAGCCCUAGGGAUGGUUCUAAAGGUUUAGAAACCUUAAUAGAGAGCUUCUUAUGUGAUCCUAAGCUAUCUUUUGCUUAGUAACAAGAUCAAUCCAAGAGAAAACCCUAGGUGACAUUGUUAGGGCUUGGAAAUUAGGGCUUUUGCCCUAGGAUUUUUCGGGGACGAAUUGACCCCGUAGAAACCUAAUUGGGGGUGCCCUAAACGCGUGGGACAACUCCGUUUGACAUUACGAAAAUGUUAUAAUAUAGUUCAUGUACAAAAGGCCUAAUAUGGCACUAUUUUGGUUAUAGGGCGCGGAAUCGGCUUUCGUAAAGUUCGGGGGUCGUCACAUUCCACACCCACACGAUUAUUAGAGGUGGGGGGUGCACGCCGGAAUCGUUGGAUUCCCUUCUAUGUCUGUUUCACUUUUGUUGAGCAUUUUAUUAUAUAGCCAUUCAUGCAUAGUAGGGAAAUCUUACAUGUGACUAGAGACUAGAAUUUCAAUAUUAUGCUUCUUAUGUAGAUGGAUAUAGUGAUUGAACAAGAACCGAAAUGGACAUGUAUGAUUGAACCCGAGAGAUGUGUGAAUGUGAGACUUGGACUUGACCAUAGUAAACAAAGGUGACAUUGACUAUAGAGACAAGAUUGCCAUUGACGAAAAUGACCAGAAAGUGACAUGAACAAAUAGGUAGGAANCGGGAUCGCGGCAAGGGUGUCGCAUAGCUAGCUCGCGGAGAGUUCUUUUGCCUAGGUGGUUUACUCCUCCAUUUUAUAUUUUGAGAGAGUGUGAGGCUUUUGUAUCCAUGUAUAGAGACCACCUGUGUACCUACCUAUAGCACUUGUAUUUGGGAUCCCCAUUGUACUUACUUUAUGUUUUGUUUAGUGGAUUUACAGUUUUAACUUUAUCCCUUGUUGUAGCAUUUAGACUUUUAUUAUGCUCUGAUACUACUAGAUGUCUUGUAUUAUUGCUUUUAUUAUUGUUGUUUUUAGACGCCUUAUAUGUUGUAGACAUAUGGCGGGUCUGGGCACGCGCCGGGCGGGCUUCCGCUGGGUCCCGGGGCGUGACAAACACCCCCAUCGCCUCCGCCUCCAGAUCCGAAUCCCCCCUUCCUCGAACGUGAUCUCCACCAUCGCCGACCUCAUCUCCCGCGUCGCCAUUGCCGCGCGGUUCUUCUCCGACUCCCGCGCCAGCUCCAGGAGCCGCCGCACCACUGCAACCCUCGCCGCCACCGAUGAUGACGACGAUGACGCGGGUUUGGCCUCGGAAAGUAGGAGGUGGAGGAGGGAGGGGUCGGCAGGUUGCUUAGGGGUGGGGAUGUGCUAGCCGAGGGGGAGGGGUAGGGGCGAGGAAGGUCUGGAGUCGGCGCUGGGAGGUGUCCAUCUCCGGCAGGAAGAAGAAAAAGAAGAGGAGAAAAAAAAACAAGAAAAGAAAUAGUGCAAAUUUUUUCUAAAUGGUGCAAUCUUGGCCAAAAGAGUGUAAAGUCUAUUUUAAAAGAAUGCAAUUUCUAUAUGAAAUAGUGCAAUUUUCAUUAAAACAGAGCAAUUUUUUUUUAAAACAGUGUAAAUUUUUUUUGAGAGUGCAAUUUCAUCAUCUUCUUUCUUCUCCUAUAUUUUUUAAUCUUUUCUGUAGGAAAAAAGUAAUUUUUUUUAUUUUUUAUUAUUCUUAUUUUUUUCUAUAAUUUUUUUUUAUCACCACCUCUCCCUUACUUUCUAUCGCAAUCAUCACGACGUCGUCAGUGGCGAUCUCGCCGCCUCCGACGAUGUCUCGGCGUUUCGAUGCGAGGUGGAGGAGAAGAGCCUGCGUCUCGACGUCACCGUGCCCUAGUUGAGAAGAAAGGUAGCGACGCGGCUUCAGCAGGGUCGGAGGCAAGGAGGACUGGAGUGCACGGGGCGGAGGCUAGGCGGGCUGUUCCCGCCUCCGCCUCCGCUGCCUUCUUCGGAGAGAGAAAAAAAGAACGAGAGAAAAAAAAAAAGGAGGAGAGAGAAAAAAUAAUAAGAGUAUUUUGGUCAGUUUGCUGAAAUUUCGGCCUGAAUCUGCAAAAUCGAAAAAAGUGGUCCACUUUUGCAAAAGUCCAAAAUUAGUGAAUUUUUAUGCAAAUUGGCCUUUAAACUUAGGUUAAAUUAUAGAAAAUUUUUCUGUAAAUAUUCGCUUUUUUACUUUUCCUUCAUGACUAUUAAAAAAUCUAUAUGUUGCUUCUUUAAAAUUUCAGAAAUAUUUUCAGAAGGGUACGGCAUUAAUGGAGAGGACAGAAUGACCAAAUUACCCAUACUUCUUUUAUAAGAAGAAAUAACAUUUGUUAAUAUAAUUAUGUUAUUUUGAAGGAUAUUUUUUGUAUAAAUUAUAAAAAAUAGACAGAAUAAUGAUGGAAUCCUANAGCUUUCGCUUCUGUUGUUGCUUGCCCUCGUGCAAGCCUUGUAUAAAUGCUAAUCUCAUUGUUUGAUUGCUUUACUAUACAUGGUUUAGAGCCUUGGACGGGCAGGGGAGGCUCUGUCCGUUCGGCGUCUGUUGGCGUGACCCGAACCCGACCAAAUUGGCGGGGAUUGGGGCGUGACAGUAUUGAUGCAGGAUGGCAAGGUGAUCGCGUAUGCUUCUCGCCAACUGAAGGAAUAUGAAAGGAACUACCCGACGCAUGAUUUGGAGUUGGCUGCCGUGGUGUUCGCAUUGAAGCUAUGGCGCCACUAUCUUUAUGGCGAGCGGUGUGAAGUUUAUACGGAUCACAAGAGCUUGAAAUACCUGUUUACUCAGAAGGAGUUGAACUUAAGGCAGCGCAGAUGGUUGGAGCUACUCAAGGAUUAUGAUCUUACUAUUCUUUACCACACGGGCAAGGCUAACGUGGUGGCGGAUGCGCUAAGUAGGAAAUCGACAGAAAACAUAGCGAUGUUUGUGGUGACCCAACCGCAGUUGAUCGAGCAGAUGAAGCCGUUGGAGUUGGAGGUAGUGACUCCGGAUACACCUUUGAGGUUGAUGACCUUGGUUGUGCAACCUACACUUUUGGAUCGAAUUAAAGAGAAGUAAGCUUCCGAUUUGGAGUUGCAAAAGAUUAAAGGUAAAAUGGUUGAUGGUUGCACCGGUGACUUCUUAGUGGAUGACCGAGGGUUGAUGCGAUUCCGUGGACGGCUAUGUGUACCGGCGGAUGCGGGAAUCAAAGAGGAUAUUCUUCAAGAAGCGCACCGAGCGCCCUAUGCUAUACAUCCGGGAGGUACCAAGAUGUACAAAGACUUGAAGUUGCUUUAUUGGUGGUCCGGGAUGAAAAAGGAUGUUGGCGAGUUUGUAGCUCGUUGUUUAACUUGCCAACAAGUAAAGGCUGAGCACCGAGUUCCCGCGAAAAAACUUCAGAGUUUGCCUAUUCCCGUGUGGAAGUGGGAGAAGAUCACCAUGGACUUUGUGACUGGAUUGCCUCGCUCACAGGCUGGGCAUGAUGCUAUUUGGGUGAUCGUGGAUAGGUUGACGAAGUCGGCGCACUUCAUACCUAUUCAUACGACUUGGACCGGAGAGAAGCUCGCACAAGUGUACCUUGAUGAGAUUGUGCGACUUCAUGGAGUGCCUACGACGAUAGUAUCAGAUCGAGACACUCGGUUUGUGUCUCACUUUUGGAGGAGUCUGCAUGAUGCCUUGGGCACUCGUUUGGAUUUUAGCACUGCUUUCCACCCUCAGAGUGACGGGCAGUCGGAGCGCACCAUUUAGACUUUAGAGGAUAUGCUCCGAGCAUGUGUGAUAGACUUCCGGGGAGGAUAGUCGCAGCAUCUACCCAUGGCGGAGUUUGCUUAUAACAAUAGUUAUCAAGCAAGCAUCAUGAUGGCACCGUUCGAGGCACUGUAUGGACGGAAGUGUAGAUCGCCACUUCAUUGGAGUGAAGUUGGCGAGAGAUUGGCUCUGGGACCAGAUGUGCUCCAGGAAGUCGAGGAUAAAGUUCGAAUUGCUCGGGAGCGACUUUUGACGGCACAGAGUAGACAGAGGAGCUACGCCGACCGACGGCGGCGAGACUUAGAGUUCCAAGUUGGAGACCAUGUUUUCUUGAAGGUCUCGCCGACUAGAGGAAUCAAGAGAUUCGGGAUUCGGGAAAAGUUAAGCCCCCGUUUCAUUGGACCGUAUGAGGUUUUGGAGCGUGUAGGCCCGGUAGCGUAUCAACUUGCCCUACCGCCGAAUCUAUCGGGCGUACACAAUGUCUUUCAUGUAUCGGUCCUUCGGAGGUACAUACAUGACCCAACUCACGUUUUGGAGGCCAUACCAGUGGAGCUGCAUGAUGAUUUGAGCUUUGAGGAGCAACCCUUGAGAAUUUUGGCUCGCGAGGUGAAGAGAUUGCGGAACCGUGAGAUUCCCUACGUGAAGGUACUUUGGAGCAACCACGACGAGCGCGAGGCCACUUGGGAAUUGGAGAGCGCACUGCGGGAGCGCUAUCCCCAUCUUUUUCAGAUGGAGGUUUGAGGUACGUUGCUUUCGAGUUUCGCGGACGAAACUCUUUUUUAGGAGNGAUGAAUAUAAGCACAUAUGAGAUAAGAUUUGCCCCCGCUUGUAUUCUUCGCCUACAAGAAAGAGCUUCCAUCCAAAAAUUCUCUUUUCUUAAAACAAAUACCCUGACUAAAUUCUUUAUCUAAGUUGUACGUUUACAAACAAAACAAAACGAAAAAUAAAUAACAAAAUUCAAUCCGAUUUCAUUUAUUCCAACCGAAAGUAAGUUCGAUGCUAUCGUGAUUUCGUACCAAUCGGAGUAUAAGUACAUGCCGACCAAAGCUAAUCAGACACAAAGAUCCAUUAAUGACUUAGAAUGCACUAAUUAUAUUGCUGAUGUGGCGUUCUCAACCAAUGCAAUUAUUUUUUUGGAAUUCAUCAAUUCCAUCGUGUUUAUCAGAAAAAUAUUUUUAUUUUACCUUUUUCUCAAAGAAAAAGAUAUAAUUGGUUGGUUAUUGAUGAUAUAGUGUAAGUGUGACACAGUAAAUUUUCUGAUCCUUAAAUUCUUUCGUGAGAUCGCCGCUCUUCCACCAUCACUGUCGCUCCGCUCCUGCUCCCCCACCCCUUCACCCAAGCCCGCCGCUCCCCUCACUUGGUCUCACGACCUGACCAACGUGUCCUAACUUUGAAUCGUAAGCACUAACUAUUCCAAAAAUAUGGACUGAUACGACGGCGCAUUCAUCGCACUUAAGGCUUGACCACAACACUCACAGACUUCACAGACUUCGAUCCUGACUCAACUCAUAUGAACAUUAUGUCUAUUAUAAGGCCUCUUGUCGUUAGGUUUAUUAUAAACCGCAAUCACACUUAAAUUAUUAGACUAACCCAACUCAAAUAUUAGCUUCCUGAGCCUACUAUCAUGGAACAAAAAAUUAAGCAUAUUUUAGGCUAUAAUAAACAUAGUUAAUUCGUGAAUUAUUCGCGAUUUAUUGAAAAAACCGAAUAAACCGGUCUGUACACGAUUUAUUUCCAAAAGAUCGAAAUAAUACGUGAAUUUUUGGGUUAGAUUUAUUAUUUGCGAAUAAUUUGCGUAUAUCGAACUAUUCGGCCAAAAAAAUGCACAAAUUUUUGGGAUAAAAUUCCUUUCUGAAUUAUCGCCGGAUUAUUCGCGAAUUAUUGAAAAACUUCAUGACCUUCUGAAAUAUUGGAUCAUGAAAAAGAUGAAGAUGAAGACGAUAAUAAAAUUUGCUAUUAUUUUUUUUUACUUAAUCUAUUUUAUUUUAGGCCAAUUUGCAUAAAGAAUUCAUAAAUUUUAAGCUUUUGCAAAACUGGACCGUCUUUUUUGAUUUUGCAGAUUCGAUCCGAAUUUUCAGCAAACUGACCAAAAUAUCCUUAUUACUUUUUCACUCUCCUCUUUCUCUCUCCUCUUUUUUUCUCUCGUUCAUUUUUUUUCUAUCGCCGAAGAAAGUAGCGGAGGCAGAGGCGGAAGCAGAAAUGGCCCACCUCGCCUCUCACCCUCUCGCCCUCACCCUUGCCCUUGCCCUCGCCCGCGCACCCCCCACCUUCCUCGCCUCCAACCCAACCAAGGCCAUGCCACGACUUUUUUUUUUUCCCUCUCCGACUCUCCUCCACCGUCUCCAACAACGACGCCUCUCUCGCCCUUCCUAGCCCUUCUUGUCCUCUCCCUCUCCCUCCUCCUGUGCCGCCUUCGACGACGACGCAUCAUCGCCGACGCCGACACCAUGGAGGUCGCUGCGGCACUGCAGCCUCGAAGCGGGGGUCUUUAGCGGCGUCGUUGCCGGCGCCGUAGCCGUUGGCAGAGAAGGGUGACAAAAAAAAAUUACAGAAGAAGCAAGAAAAAAAAAAUAAAGAUAAAAAAUUAUAGAAAAAGAAAGAUGAAGAUGAAAUUUCACCAUUAAAAUAAAAUUGUACUGUUUUAAAAAACGUUGCACUAUUAUGAACAUAAGUUGUACUACUUAAGAUGUAAACUACAGUUUUAAGAUAAAAAUUACACUCUUUAAAUAAAAAUUACACUCUUUGAGAGAUAUUUACACUGUUUCUCCUCUUAUUGCACUCUUUCAGAUGUAAACUGCAUCCAUUAAGAUGAAAAUUACACUCUUUAAAUGAAAGUUGCACUCUUUGAGAGAUAUUUAUACUGUUUCUCCUCUUCUUACAUUCUUUGAUAUGUAAACUGUAUCCUUUUAAGAGAUAUUUAUACUGUUUCUCUUCUUGUCAACUAUUUCUCCUCUUGUUACACUAUUUUUUCUCUUAAAGGGUACAGUUUAAGAGAAAAAAUAGUAUAACAAGAGAAAAAAUAGUGCAACAAGAAGAUAAACAGUGCAACAAGAGAAGAAACAGUAUAAAUAUCUCCUAAAGGGGUGCAGUUUACAUCUUAAAGAGUAGAACAAGAGGAGAAACAUUGUAAAUAUCUCUCAUGGAGUGCAACUUUCGUUUAAAGAGUGUAACUUUCAUCUUAAUGGAUACAAUUUACAUCUGAAAGAUGCAAUAAGAGAAAAAACAGUGUAAAUAUCUCCCAAGGAAUGUAAUUUUCGUUUAAAGAGUGUAAUUUUCAUUUUAAAGCUGCAGUUUACAUGUUAAUAGUACAACGUUCUUUCAAAACAGUGCAAUUUUAUUUUAACGGUGCAAUUUCAUCUUCAUUUUUUUUCUAUAAUUUUUUAUUUUUAUUUUUUUUCUUGCUUCUUCUAUAAUUUUUUUUUGUCACCCUUCUCUGCCAGCGCCGGCGACGACGCUGCUAAGGACCCCACACUCCGAGGCUACAGCGCCACAGCGACCUCCACGGUGUCGGCGUCGGCGAAGAUGUGCUUUCGUCGAAGGCGACAAAGAAUGAAGGAAAGGGAGAGAACGAGAAGGGCGAGGAAGGACGAGAAAGGCGUCGUCGUCGGAGACGGUGGAGGAGAGUCGGAGAGGGAAAAAAAAAAAAGUUGCAGCGCGGCCUCGGCGGGGUCGGAGGCGAGGAAGGCGGGUGGUGCACGGGAGAGGGCGAGGGCGAGGGCAAAGGCGAGAGCAUGACGGNGAUAGGAAGGAGAAGAAGAAGGAGAUCAAGAGGAAGGCUUGGAGCACCUCCAUCUCCCUCUCCUCUUCCCAUUGGUGUAGCUCUUGAGGUAAGCUACUAAACCCUAGCUUUGUAAACUUAGGGUUUUGGGUUUUUAUGCUUUGGAAUGGGCCAAAUGGACUCUAGGCAAGCUUCUAAAUAGAUCAAUCCCAUGAUUCUAGGGUUUUAUCGGUGGGUUGCUAUAUGUGCAACCUAGGGCUCCAAAUGGGGGCAUUUUGUAAAGUGUGAGAUUGAUCUCAUUUGAGGCUUUGUAAACCUCAUCGAUAGGUGCCCAAACGCGGGGGCGAAGUCGAUUUCGCGAUUCGUCGAGCGAGCUUGGAUGUAAGGUACCGGACUUCUAAAAUAAUGAAGUUACGGUGUACAUUUGGUUGGAGAGCCAUUUGAAGGGUUCCGGUGAAGUUCGGUGAAGUUCGGGAGAAUCCGGGCGAUUUGGUGUGCGUAGGCGCGGAAAGGGACCCGAAAGGUCAUGUCGGACCAUGAACUAAACCCGGCAUUAGCAGGGAUUAAAAGAUGAUAAAAACAUGCUCGAAAACAUGUUUGGGGAGUCUCGGUUCGAUUUGAAACGAAUCGGAGGUCAAACGAGCGAAAACGGAGCGAAAACGGACCCCGAAAGCUGAAAAAGCUGAAAAUUUGGCUAAGUCUGGAAUGCUGUUUUUCUGGACAUUCGGGGACCGGUCCCUCAAGUCUAGAGACCGGUCCCAGCACCCGAAAAUGGCCCAGUUUGGGCUGUGUGUGACUUAUAUUGUUGAGGGACCUUUGUGCAAUUGUGCCAAGGGUAUAGAGAGGGUUGGGGGCUCAUUUCCUCUCCUUCUCCCUCACACUUUGUAACCUAAACUCUCUCUCUCUCUCUAGAAAGAAAAGAAAGAGAAGAAGAAGAAGAGGAAAGGGAAGGAGAAGGUGGAGGAGAAGGCUUGGAGAAGGAGUUCUACUUCUUCUUCCUCCUCUUUUGGCCAUUGGAGAAGCUUGUUUGAGGUAAGCUUUACACCCUCUAAUGGUAGCUUCUAGUUUAUAAGUUUUUAAGCUCUAGAAAUGGGAUUUAAUGGUGAUUUAGAGAUUGUUAAUCUCAUUUGUUGCAAGAUCUAUAGCUUUAUGUUGCUCUUUGCAACAAUGAGGAGUUAGAGCUCCAAAUGAGAGCUUUAAUGGUAGAUCUCUAGGGCUUUAGUCUUAUGCUCUAGAGAUGGAUUUAGUAACCUUCCUAGAUGCUAAUUAGAUGGAUUAUGUUUAGAUCCAAAGUUCUAAUGGUGGGUUUUUGUCUAAUUGCGACCUAGGGCUCCAAAAUGGGGUUUUAGUAAAUCUUAGGUUAUGAUCUAUUUUGAGUGGUCAGAAACCUAAUUGCCAUGUCUCCGAACGCGUAGGAAGCGACGGUUCGUCGAUUCGUCGAGCGGGUGCGACGUUCCGGCUGAAACAAGUGCUAGAAGGUCCGUUUUGGCCCGAGGAGCCGAGGCGACGUGCGAAGACCACGAAGACAAGCUUUCUAACCUUUCGGCAUUACCAAAAGGUGGGGGAGUGCCAUCCCGAAGCAGUCGGGCUACUCUUUAUGUCUAAGUGCUAAGUUGACCUAAUUGCAUAUUGUGAUAUUGCAUUAUAGGGUGCUAAAUGUAAUUGUUACAUAUUCUUGCAUGCUAAUAGAAUAGUGUAGAGUUGAGUUGCUUAACACCUAAAUCUAGUAUGCAUGAGAUUAACGUCAAAUGACUUGAGACCCUAUAAUGAAGUGAUAGUUGAUAGGAAGUGAACCUGCUUAUGUGAAUGAGAAUUUAGUAUGGUAUAACUAAUGUUUGAGAACAACAAACUUGACGAGUGGCAUCUAGUUAACAAACUUGACGAGUGGCAUCUAGUUAAUGUUGAACUUAGGAGAGAACUAGUUCCCAAGUGAUGUUGUCUAGAGUGGUAGGGUAUCCUCAGUGACGGGGAUUUGACCAUACUUAUAUGUCUGUUCAAAGCUUGGUAUGGUCGCUCCACACAAGCAGUGCACUCCGGAGUCGUCACAUGAUAGGGAUAGCCGUUUGGUUCCCGAGGGAUAGCCGUUUGGGUCCCGCAGACAGUCUUGGGCGAGUGAGCUGAUCCUCCCCAGGUGAGUUGGGUGAGUGAGUUGAUCCUCACCCAUGAGUUGAGAUUGGGCUGUCGUACCUAUGUUGAGAGUCGGGCGAGUGAGCGGAUCCUCCCCGUUGUGUUUAGAUUGUGAGUCGGGCGAGUGAGCGGAUCCUCCCCGUUGUGUUUAGAUUGUGAGUCGGGCGAGUGAGCGGAUCCUCCCCGUUGUGUUUAGAGUGCGAGUCGGUGAGUGAGCGGAUCCUCACGUAUGUGACUGAGUAGACUAGCAUAGUAGUAUGAGAUAGGCUACCUAUUAUGUUGCAGUUUAUACAUGUAUUUUUGUUGAAAGCAUAGUAUCAUGAGAUAGGUUGCACAUUAUUAUGUAGUUCAUGCAUUCAUAGCAUUGGAUUGAGGCAUAGUUGGAUAUUAGCAUCGCUUUACAUUAUGCUUUAUCGUUAUUGCUUUCAUAUAUAUCUAUCUAUCUUUCCGUCUUCGUCUUCGUCUUCCUAUGCCUCCUUAGACCUAGUGGGGAGAUUGGCGGAGUCGGCGGCCGAACCCACUGGGAACUAUAUUCAUAUAGUUCUCACCCCGCGUGGUUUGGGGUACAGGUACACACGAGAGAGCUCCGGCCGAGGACCGCGGCAAGGGCUUAGCGCCCUAGUGUUGGUAGUAGUUACUUUCCUACUUGCAUUAGAGCUACCUAUACCUUUUGAGAGUAGAUGAUGUAUAGGUGUGAGGCUAUUUUGGAAAUUGUAAGCUUUAAGUUCAUGAUGUAUUUUGGAAGCUUUAAUUGUAAUUAAAUGUAUCAAAGUUGAAUGGAUGUAAUAGCUAGUUAUUUCUCUCUUUUAUUCACUUGUUCACUACUUGUGAUGCUUGCUCUUUAUAUGUUUGGCACUGGUUGUGCUCUCGCUAUUGUUGGAUUGUGUAUGUUAUCAAGUUGUUGUCCUGGGCACUUGUGUACACAAUCUCGUUGCUUAGCCGUGGGCGGACAGGGGAAGUGCUGUCCGUUCGGCGUCUGUCCGACGCGCCCGAACCGGCCAAAGUGGUAGCGGUUUCGGGGCGUGACAGUUAUGGUAUCAGAGCGAGUUAAGAGCAAGCAAAGAGAGAGUCUAGGACUGACCUAGGAGACCCUAGGACGGUAAACCGUAAGGUUAUAGGUGUGUGAGUGGAACGUGAACUUAUGACAGCGGCGGAAGUUAAUUAAUUGGGUCGAAGUUGGUGUUGAGACUCUAGUAGUUGCUAGAGACGAUUCAAGUAGUACUAGUUCUUGACUUAAGGUGGUUGUGUUGGCGGCCGACAACACGACGCCGAGAGUCAAGGAUGAGUACGCUUGUGAACUUCCGCCUGAUUUGUGUUGUUGAGUCAUUUUAUCGCGUAAUUGCGAGAGGUUGUUGGGUUGAGGUGAUUAACCGAUUUAUUGCGUUUCAGGAGCUAAUGUCCCCGAGACGCUACGCACGUAGAUCCGUUCCGGCACCGCCCCCUGAGGUGCCAAAGCCUCCUGGGGCGCCAGGGCCAGCUGGGCCUAGUGAGGUGCAGGAAUUGCCGGCGCAGGUGACCGCACUAGCUGGUCAAGUUGGGCGGCUCCAGGAUUUGAUGGAGCGGCAGAUAGCAGCAGUGGCUGCGAUGGCGGCUGGAGGUCGUGACCCGCCCGCACCCUCGGCUCGCGUCCCUAAUGCGACUGAGAGUGAGGGUGUUCCAGCGGCGCCGGUGGCGGCGCAACCCCCGCCGGCAAGUGUUCCUCCAGCGGCAUCGAGUUCUGCGACACUCGGUGCGGCGGCCGAGGAGAUACAGCGAGAGCGUGGCUACACGGCUCUCACAAGGUUUACAAAGUUCCACCCGCCUACGUUCGAUGGAGAAGUGAUAGAUCCUUGGACGGUGGAGACAUGGUUGGCCUCGAUGGAGACCCUGUUC
Molecule: long non-coding RNA, 55384 nt
Filed under: Ananas comosus (pineapple)
Lineage: Eukaryota; Viridiplantae; Streptophyta; Magnoliopsida; Poales; Bromeliaceae
Description: long non-coding RNA (ACOM_LNC021163)
Source: RNAcentral